This 66376-nucleotide long non-coding RNA is filed under the name Sorghum bicolor (sorghum). RNAcentral's name for it is "long non-coding RNA (SBIC_LNC016543)". The record is from RNAcentral. Lineage: Eukaryota; Viridiplantae; Streptophyta; Magnoliopsida; Poales; Poaceae.
UACCAUCACAACCGGAAGGAUUAGAAUCUACAAAUGUUGUAGACAUGUUUGAUACAGAUAACUACUGGAGUAACCCCGUUACAGAAGUUACUACUGACCUUCUGCCGGUCAAGAGAGGCGAUCCAGGACUCCCCGUCAUCCCGAUCUCCAUCAGCAUGGUGGACUUCCCAGAAGCACUCUGUGACUUUGGCUCUAGUGUCAACAUUAGGCCUAGGGUACUCUAUGAAAAAUUCUUUACAUAUCCUUUGUUAGAAACAACCAUGUGUUUGCAGCUUGCAGAUCGGACACUAAGUUUCCCUAAGGGAAUAUUGAAAAACCUCUGUGUCUGAGUUGGUACCUUAUACGCCCCAGCAGACUUCGUGGUGAUAGAGAUCGGUAAUGAUGAGAGGGCACCUGUCAUCUUAGGGAGGCCAUUCCUGAACACCUCGGGAGCUGUCAUCUACGCUAGUGCUGCCAAGAUCAGUUUCUACAUCAAAGGAAGGAAGGAGACAUUUUCCUUCAACAACAAGACUACACAAAUCCCAGAGCAAUCCCGACAUAAACCAAGGAAGAGGACCAAUAGGAGGAACAGGAACAAGCAAGUAUGGACCGAGUCAACUAAGAUGGUCACUGUAGUUCAAGGAGAUUAAGAUCAUCGACUUAAGUCACCGUUCCUGACCAAGAAGGACGACCUAGGUAUGCCAAGCCUCUAUUGCUCCAUCAAUGGAUACAACUUCUACAAGACACUUUGCGACACCGGAUCGGGCGUCAACAUAAUGGCCGCAGUCACCUAUCAGCUCUUGUUCGGAACCAUGCCCCUAAAACCGACAUACAUUCAGCUCCAGAUGGCAGAUCAGACAUUCCGAAAGGUUGAAGAUAUAGUAACUGAUGUCCCUGUCAAAAUAGACGAUCAUUUUGUCCAUACAGACUUUCAGGUUAUUGACAUGGGAGAAGACGAGUACGAUCCACCCAUCAUCCUUGGGAGACCGUUCCUCAGCACCGUUAAAGCAAUCAUCUACAUUGGAACUGGAGAAGUCCACAUGCACUUCCCCUCGGAGAAGAAGACGACGCAACUGCAACCAGAGGAGGCAAAUCAUCAAGGACGGAUGGGCAGACUAUGAAGGAGAAGUGGUAAGGUCUGAAGACAUACAACUUGAACAGAAUUAUCCUAAAGAGACCGUAGCACCGAGUCAGGUGUGGAGAGAGAAGAUAGUUAUACAUGAAGAAGAGGCGCCGCCGGAAGCACCGACUACGCCAUCCAACGAAUUCCAGGACAACUGAGAAAACGGAGAGUCCCGUUCGGAGGACUUAAAAACACCGAACGCCUUGCCAAGAGAUAAACUUGGUAGUUAUCUUUUUCCUUUCAAUUAUUCCAAAUAGUUUUCUUAGUUAAUCAGAUUUAUACUAUCCAAAAAAGAAAAUAAAAAUGUUAAAAAAUAGUAAGCCCCAUGUGAGUAUACGAAUGGCAUAAAACCCAUAAGUACAUUCACUAUGGAGGCAUAAAAAUAAAAUAAAUAUUUUUUCUGCUUUAUAAAAUGAAAAUAUAAAAAUAGAGAGUAACAUUUAUUGAGGAGGCUCAACAUGAUAAUGGCUAGAUAUUUAUGCUAACACCUAAUUAGUUCCACAAAGCUUUGUUGUCUAUUUGAGCUCUACAGAAUUCAUGUAUCAAGAAGACUAGGAGACAGAGGAUAUUCUAAUCGCUGUCAGGGUGCUGUGGACUUUUAAAUACACCUCUGCCACCUGUUAGCUACAUCAGAAAAAAUUACGUCAAAAUUCAGCUUGGGGGAGAGCACCCCCAUUUAUCCCGCUAAGUAUUUCUAUCUACAUAUAUACUUAUACUAUAUUAAAAUAAAAAUACGCAUAACCAGAAAAAACCAAAUAAAGAUUUUGUGCUUAUAUAUCUUUUGCUUAGUGUGCUUAAUAAAUAAAUAAAGUGGCUAUGCUAAACUUAAUCUUAAUAAUAAAACUCUAGCAUGGAUAUGAUGAAUAGUUGCUCUGCCUAAUUUUCAAAUUUGAGUUCUCUCUCUAGUUUAGACAUAACCGUUAUAAUUUAAAGCUUGCUCUAAACCUGAACUUGUGGGAAGAGAACUUGAUCUGAAGUUUAAGUUGUUAACGGAUAUGAUAUGGGAAGGUUGAGCUGCUGUUUAUCUGUUUCUAGAGAUGCUAAAAUUCUGGAGAAUUUUAUCUUUGAAAAUCUUUAAAAUAUCACAUGAUGAGUUCCUGUAUGAUGAGAAGUUUAAAUUCCUACCACAGCCAUAUAUACAUGCUUGCUAGACUUUGAGCCACACAUUUACUUUUUACUGCUUAUGAGCAUUGAGUGUGGUCAAGCUGUGUAGAUCUAUAGGAGCUUGUCAUGUGGUUAAAUCAAGAUUCACUUGCACGUUCACUCACACAUGCUGCUUCUACUCCGGAAGUACGCAUCCAUAUAUAUCCACUCAUUUCCAUCUCAAGAACCACCCAAAAGUAUUCUACUCCUAAUCCAGGAGAGAAUAGCCAAAAACAUUUCUGUUCUGUGAAAUAAAUGCUCAAGUUAUCUUGGUUACUACCACUUGCUAUAUUAUUUCAGGAGAUGAGUGCUCUAAAAGAAAAAAAAAUAUACGAGGAAAUAAAAAGGGGCAAGUGCCCGGAACCUCGAAAGAAAAGAAAAAGUGAGACGAGAGGUAAAAAUGGACAAGUGUCCGACAGUAGAAUUAGGGGUACAAGAUACCCACCUGAAAGGAAAGAAAAAAAAAUAUAGAGCAUCUCAUUCUCCUCAAAAAGUUUCAAAAGAGCAAGAAAGGUAUGUAUCCCCUCAAAAGAGCAACAAGUAGAAUUAGACUUUCACCAUUGUUAUCACCAUCAACACCAUACACCAUUCAUUCGCCACACAUGCACAUCUUGAUUUGACUUAUUGACUUGUUUCUCUGGAUCCAUGGUUUGACUAUGCAAUAAAUGUCUUGUAAGUAUGUACACUUUAUCUCCCACCUAUGAGCUCCAAAUAUCAAAGCCUUAUUAGAGUAGGAUGAGAGAGAAGGCAAUGUCACUAUGCUUCAUACCACAUACUUUGAGAGAAGGCAUAUACCAUCACUGCCUUGGUAAGGAUCCAGAAAUACCACAAAAGCGAGAUCUGAGAGAGUCAUACAAGGAAUCUCUGAGUUUUAUUUGAAAAUCUGCAAAAAUUCCAGAGCUAUAGCUGAUCAAGAAUAAGAGACAUAGUACUUGACUAGACCGUUCUAUCUUUUAACUACUCAAGACAGAACUGACGGUUACAAGUCCCAUGGUAAAAGGUAAAAUAAGUAAGUUUGAAGUCUUGACAGUUUACUCUAACUCAGAGAUGAGACCUUAUUUGAAAGCAUGUGUACCGACAAUUUUUAAAGGCAUUACAGCAACUUCUGAUCCAUCACUGAGAUUAUCCUUGCUCAGGGACGAGCAAGAGGUAAGCUUGGGGGAGUUUGUUGACGGUCCUUAAGUAUCAAAUAUAAUCAACAAAUAAACAGAGAAAAGGAUCCAAAUGCAACCGACACCUAGACUUAGGGUUCUAUCUGACAGAAUUCCAUGAGUUUUGGUGUUUGUCUAUUUCUGCAGGGGGUUAUUAGGAAAUAUGGAAGAAAGGCCCACACGUCGGGUUUACAUAGAGAUAUUAACGUGCCACGCAAUUAUCUAACAUCUAGAAGAGUCCAGAAGGCACGGGAAUGAACGGGAGGCCGAUCGGGCCCGGGGGCAGGGCGCCCACCCUCCCCCCUUGGGCGCCCGCCCUGGCCAGGCAGCUAAUCAGAACCAACUUCGCGGAUCAUGCUCCACCGACCUAAAGGAUCAAGGAAAACCGUGCGAUUAAUGUCGGUUUGAUCCGACGGUCCACAUUCAUUUGGAAGGACUAUAUAAGCAGACCCCCUGGCCCCUGGAGGAGAGCACCUCUAUCCCUUAGAAACCCUAAUUCAUUUAUCCAUCUCGGGAGAAGAAGCCUCUGAUCAAGCCCUAGAGCCACCACAUCAAUAGAUCUCUAGUUUAGCAUAGCUACAUAGGAUUAGAACUAGAAGGAGUCAAUCUUCGAUUGGUUUCCAGAUCUGUCAAGAGGAUUCUUGGUAAUUCCUCUAUUGUUCUUCAAUUGUUCAUCAUUGUUCUUCAAUAUUAUGAAUAUGACUUUGUUCUACUUCAAUAUAUUGAUUAUGACUUUGCUCUAUUUGUUUAUAUUUGCAAUUAUAUUGUUCUUAGUUUAUCAUAGUUAUAUGCUUGGCUUAGUUAGAUUGGAAUUAUAUACAUGUUUAGGAUCGUAUAGCGUUUAUCCAUGUGUACAGUGGGUAAAUGAUAAGUAUUGUGUAGGCGUGGUGCCUAUACCGUAUUUAUCUACGAUUGUACUCUAUAUGCCAGAUCGCGGGGUAGUUCGUGGUAGUGACAGCUCUAUUGAUUCUUAUAUAGUCCCCAUCUCGUGUAUAGGGCUGGCAGUGCAACAUUAUUACAGGGGAGUGAUUGCUAUGUUUCUCAUCUUCCUUGAUAAUAUCACUAUGCAUGGGCGUAGUCCUGUCUCGCAAUGAUUGCCAAGUAUAAUUGCACUAACUAUGAUAUGCUAGACUUUAUAGUUAAGAAUAACUUAGGAAAUAUUCUUGUAGUUCGUCCUAAUUCCAUACUAAUGACUUGCUAGAAUAUCUAUUGAGGUGCUUAUCAUAUUUAUAUGUGGCUAAGUUAUGCUGAUCAGAUUAAUUAUCUUUGUCAUUAUUCAUACUUUAUCUAUCUUUUAUGUGACAUUUAUCCCUGUAUGAAAGAGAUGGAUAAAUGCUCUCAAUUAUACAUGCAGUGAUAGAUACUCAAUUCUAUAUUCCAUUCCAUAAUCAACAUUGAUGUUUAGCAAUCCCUUCCCAGUGGUAAAAAUAUAAAUAACGAUAACUAGAAUACUUCCCGGUUAAAAUGCUACAUCGGUAUUAAUCUGUGCACUUGCAGAUCUUAUUUAUUAUUUAUUCAGAAGAGCAAUUGCAUAUUUUAAUACUGCGUCUCUCAUGUCAUGCUGGGGAUGACAACUUGGCUUAAGUGGCAUGAGGGAUAGGUUUGGCAUUUUUGGCGCCGUUAUCAGAAUUAGAAAACUAAGUCUAUUUUUGGUAGUGACGUUAAGAAUGCCCAACAACUUCCAGGGCACAUACGUGCGUCCUGGAAAUUCCUGGGAUCUCAGGAGCUGCCGGCAGAAGUCUGACGAGUCUCUCUGAGAUUUCAUCAGGCGAUUCUCCAAGCAAUGCACCGAGCUUCCCAACAUCACAGACUCCGACGUCAUCGGAGCCUUCAUUGCUGGCACAACCUACAAAGAGCUGGUACACGAGCUCGGGCGCAAGACUCCCACGAGCACCAGUCAGUUGCUGGACAUUGCCACCAACUUUGCCUCAGGCGAAGAGGCAGUUGGUGCAAUUUUCUCCGAUGGCACCGCCAAGGGGAAGGCCACCGAGGCCUCAGACUCCCGCGACCCUAAGAAGAAGAGAAAGGGUCGCAAGGGGAAGCAGGGUCGGUCGGACGACAAUUUGGUCGCCGCGGCGGAUCGCAAGAACCCCAAGCGGGCUCCUGCUGGCCUCGGCCUCUACGUCGGUGCUAUACUGUGGGGGUAUAAACCUCUAUACCCUGACGGCUAGACUUGGGCCAGGAGGCUUGGCCCAUCAUGAGAUAGCUCGAGGCUUGAUCCAACUGCUUGGAGUUUCGCGCAAAGAAACAGGACGUAGGGAUCAAGCAGGAUUCUAGUCGGUUAGAAUAGGAAUUGAUAUUAUGUUACCUAUGGAAAUUGUAACCGACUAGGAUUAGUUUCCAAGAUCUGUAGCCCUACCCUCUGGACUAUAUAAAGAGAGGCAAGGGACCCCCCUUAGAUAACUCAACUCAACACAAUUCAAUCCGCAGCAAUACAAUCAGACGCAGCGCCCCCCCCGGGUUUUUCCCGCUUCCCGGUCAUUCCACCUCGACGAGGAGACAUGGUCCUCAACGUCAGCAAUGAUGAGCCAGCUAUCGACGGUGAAACCGACGAACAAAGACAGCAGCGCGAACAGCGCAACGCCGACCGCGCCCAACGAUGAGCAGAUGAGGAGCGGCAACUCAUCCCAAACAACCUUGGUGAUGCUUUCGACAUGGUCGGAAAUCAGCAAGUCUACAAGACACUAAGCGCUAAUGUGGCCGUCGCCAUGGCAAACUUAGAUCGACUUCCUGAUACUCCAGAAUAUCAGGACUCCGAUCUAACAUAUGAGCACAUCUGAUCGCCGCGAUGGGACAGACCGCUACUUUGCUCAAAAGGGUCCAAGCCAUCUCCUAUACGGAGGUUUCCUCUAACCAGACUCACCACAGCCGAACUUCACUGCGACCCAGCGGGCAUCAUCAUAGUCGUUCGCCCGUCAAUGAUUGCAGGAGGGACACCCAUCGCGACAACCGUGGUCGGGAUCCUGGCAAUUACCACGAACAAAGAUGAGGGCGUGGUCAGGAGGUGAACCAAGACCGAGACCUACGGCACAACAUCCCUCCUAAAGAUGUCCGCGAGCGCAUCAACAGGCGCAUUACAGAACGAGCAUUACACGAAAACGUACGACGCAUCGAGUACGAUGCGGCACAUGGCCCCCCGGCCUAAAACAGUUCUCCUCACACCUUCGCCAAGUCGUAUGACCCCGCAACUUCAAGCUCGAGAAGCUUAAAAAGUAUGAUGGCAAGGAGAAUCCCAAAAACUGGAUCACUCUUUAUGAGAUCGCAGUCCGAUCGGUAGCAGGAGACGAGCACGUCAUGGCAAACUAUUUCCCAGUCGUCUUUGACCAAGCUAGUCACCAAUGGCUCCUCGGUCUACCCGAGGACUCUUUUGAUUCUUGGGAGGAAUUGCGCCAGGCGUUUAUUGACAACUUCAUUGCUACGUGUGAGCAGCCUGGAAAUAAAUACGAUCUUGAGAGGAUAAGGGACAGGAAGAAUGAGCCCCUGCGCGACUACAUCCGACGCUUCUUGGAUAUGCGUCUCAAGAUUCUGAAGAUUUCCCACGACGAGGCCAUAUCAGCCUUCAUCAAAGGCUUGCGCUUCCACGAAGCACUAAGAAGCAAAUUACUACGCAAAAGGUCGACCAUGGUCGCCGAACUCCUCGCCACAGCCAAGAACUACGCCGAUGCCGACGACGCAGAAAAACUCAUCCGAGAAGACGUACGAGGAGCCGAGCAGCCUCCUCGACGAGACGAUAGCUGUGGCCGUUUUGACAACCGGAAUCCCUGCCACGGCAACAACCGCGACCACCGAGAAGGGUGGGACAGGCGUCAUGAUAAUCGUGACAAUUUCAGAGGCAAGCGACCUCGCGACAGCGAUCACGAGGUAAACACAGUCAAGCGUCCCAACGGACGGCGUUACUACCAGGAAGACUACAACAAGACGCUGAAAGGAUCGUGCCAACUCCAUCCCAAGUCCAACCACAUGAUGGAAGAAUGCCGUGUCCUCAAAAGCAUCUACACACAGUGGGCCGAUCAGGGAGACGCCGCCAAGAAAAACGGGAAACAGGACAGACGCAGUCAGGAAGACGACGAUGAUGACCAGGAUAGGGACCCACCACACCAAUACGUUAGUCCCACCGAUGUGGUAUGUUGACGAUUCUUAAGUACCAAUUUUAAUUAUCAAAUAAACAAGAGAAAUGACCAAUAUGCAAACAACACCUAGAAUUAGGAUUUGAUCUGACAGAAUUCCACGAGUUUUGUUGUUUAUCUGUUUCUGCAGGGGGUUAUCAGGAAAUAAGGAAGAAAGGCCCACAUGUCGGGAUUACAUAGAGAUAUCAAUGCACCGCGCGAUUUUCUACCAUCUAGAAGACUCCAGAAGCCACGGGAAGAAAGCAGAGGCCGAAAGGGGCCAGGCCCAGGGCGCCCGCUCUGGUGACCUGGGCGCCCGCCCCCUGCUGGAAGCCAUUCAGGACUCUCUUCGCACACGAUGUUCCACCGACCUAUUGGAUCCAGAAUAACGUAGUACCACCUCGCCUACCGACCCAAAAACGCAUAGAGGAGGAGGACUAUAUAAGGAGACCCCCCUGGCCCCUAGAGGUGAGGGGUGCCCUCGAAGGAAAACCUCUUCUCUAAUUAAUAUUUCUUUUUAGGCUUAGCAACCAAUGUAAAGUAGAAAUAGAUCUUCUAGUUUCUACUAGAUUGAGAGAGAUAGAGUGGAGGUGUAGAUUGGAGGAAGUCCGGCCUGUCGGUGUCUACUCCAAGCUUGUAUCUGCGGGAUCAAGUUCUCCUAACCCGAAGCUUGCUCCUAGGAUUCUUCAGUAUUUCGACUUCUAAAUUCUAGUAAGUUCUUGUUUUAUUGUUCUUCUAGUUUAUGAGUUUACUUUAAUCUCUUCGCGUAGAGUUUAGAGUAAUCAUUGCUGGCGUAAACGUGGUGUUUAGGCUAGGGUACUCAUAGAUAUUCCCUGACUAGCUAGACCGUGGUAGUAGCGAGGAACGUGACAAUUCCGAGUUACCUUUGCAGACCAUAUCUCGUUAGCAGGAAGGAUAGGGUUUAUAUGUGCGGGUUGAACAUCCUUUGUGGUGUCUAGAUUCCGUUAGCCUCCCCAAUAGAACAGUAGAUCAUCUUUACCAAGGUUAGAAGGAGACUACGGUUGCAGUCUUCUCUAUUUAUCACUCACAUCGAAAGACAUUCUUUGUGCCUAAAGGGUUAGUAGUAAUAGACCGGUUAGUCAGAUGCACUCUUUCUCCUAGUGCUAAAAAAAUAAAUACGAUACUCUGGAUAACCUCCCGGGUGAAGUGCUCACCGAUAUCCGUGCGCUUGCGGAUCAAUUCCUUAUUGCGUUCCCAAAUAUCAACAAGCAUUUCUGGCGCCGUUGCCGGGGAGAAAGACGGUUUGCUGAGAUAACCUUGAGUCUUACUACUAGCUUGUAUCUAUACUUUUAUCUUUUCUUAUCUUUUAUAUUCUUUGCUUAUUUUCUUUAUUCUUACCUUAUGAAAAACCAAAAUUCUAAAUUUAUCCAUGAAUCUGCAAUCCCUUCAGCAACUGACCUUUUACCAUGGGAAUCAUCACAGCCUAUCCAAACAUCCGAGUAUAAGUUAAGUUCUAGGUUGAUUGCCAUGAUUCAAAACCUAUCUUUUUCGGGAAAGGAAGACGAAAACCCUUACCUUCAUAUUAGAGAUUUUGAGCAAACAUGUGAUUGUCUUCGCAUUGAAGGCAUUUCUGAUAAAACUUUACGUUGGAAGCUUUUUCCUUUUUCUUUAAGAGGAGAAGCUAGACAAUGGUACAGUCAGAAGGUAAGUCAACAACGAGGUGAAUGGGGAGUUUUACGAGCCAACUUUUGUCUAGAUUUCUAUUCCCUCGACCGUAUAGCCGACCUUAGACUCGAAGUCCUAUCUUUUAAACAAAAAGAUAAUGAAACUUUGGGAAAAUCCUGGAAACGUUUUUCUGAUCUUUUAGAAUCUAGUCCAAACCUUAAUUUUGAAGACCCUGUUCUUUUAUUUCACUUUUUUCGAGGUCUUCAAAAAAAUCACAAACAAAUGCUACAUACAAUGUCUAGAGGUUCUUUCUUUCGUAUCCCUACUGAUGAAGCUAGAGUGAUCCUAGAUAGAAUCCUAGAAGCUGAGAUAGAUAAUACCCUUCAUGAUGAAACCUACGAAGUCGAAGUAGACACUCUGCCAAAUUCUUUAUCUACUUUAGCUAUCCCAAGUUCUGAGCCACAAGAGGAAGAAAUUCCACCACCGGACUUCAUGCUGGAUAUAGAAUCUGAUCUUUUUGCCGAUUUUGGAAACAUUUCAAACUACCAUUCUAUUGACAAACCCCAAAACGACCAGUUUAGCAUUUAUUUGCCAAGUGAAUAUCAAUUGAGAGAGCUUAUCUCAGUCAUGAGUAGCGAAUGGUUGGAGGAAUCAGAGCUUUCCUCUGAUGUGAUCCGUUUGGACACACCCUCUAUAACUAUACACUGUGCUUAUAAUUCUGAUCGAUUUAAUGCUCUCUAUAAUCCUGUUGUGGGGAUCAACAUCAUGUCUGAAUCUUUUGCACUUAAACUAUUCAAAAAUCUUGUCUUAACCCCCACAACAAUGGUCAUAAAGGAAUCUUCAGGACGAUUAGUCCCCAGUCUUGGAAUUAUUAAUGUCCUACCUCUUACGAUAGAAGGCUCCAUGGUUCAUUUGAACUUUUAUAUCUUUGAUACAUGGGACUUCGACCUGUUGAUAGGACAACCUUUUAGAAGACUCCUUUAUGAAGGUCAUACUGGAAAGCUACACAUUUCUUUUGGAAAAGCCUUUAAAUUCCCAAUAACAAUUUCACACUCCUUAAAUAAUAAGGCCGAGUCAUAUCUUUUGCCUGAUCCUAUGGAGGAGGUAAAGGCUGCAUCUCUAGAGCUUUUAGAUGAACCAGACUUAGAAGACGAAACUCCUUUCUUCACUAAAGAAGAAACCGAACCUUCUGAACCUGAACCCUUAGAUGAGUUUGCAGAAACACCUAGACCCCCCCAUAGAGCUUAAAACUUUACCACCCGGUCUUACCUAUGCUUUCCUAAACAAUAAUCUAGAGUUUCCUGUGAUCAUUAGCGAUAAACUCACUCAGGAUCAAACUCUGCGAUUAAUGACCAUUCUUGAGAAACAUCACUCAGUUUUCGGCUACUCACUCCAAGAUCUUACAGGAAUCAGUCCUAUGAUUUGUACCCAUCGUAUUCCAACAAAUCCUUCUGUUUCACCUUCUCGAGAACCCCAACGUAGACUUAAUAACACUAUGAGAGAGGUAGUUAAAAAGGAAGUUAUAAAGUUGCUGCAUGCAAGGAUUAUAUAUCCUGUGCCGCAUAGUGAGUGGGUGAGCCCAGUACAAGUUGUGCCUAAAAAGGGAGGCAUGACUGUUAUUAUGAAUGAAAAGAACGAGCUAAUUCCGCAACGCACCGUCACACGAUGGCAGAUGUGCAUAGACUAUAGAAAACUAAACAAAGCCACAAGAAAGGAUCACUUUCCUUUACCUUUUAUAGAUGAGAUGCUAGAGCGAUUAGCGAAUCAUUCGUUCUUCUGUUUUUUAGAUGGAUAUUCAGGGUAUCACCAAAUCCCGAUCCAUCCUGAUGAUCAAAGCAAAACCACUUUUACAUGCCCAUAUGGAACUUAUGCUUAUCGUAGAAUGUCUUUUGGGUUAUGUAAUGCACCAGCUUUUUUUCAAAGAUGCAUGAUGUCUAUAUUUUCUGAUAUGAUUGAAGAGAUUAUGGAAGUUUUCAUGGAUGAUUUCUCUGUUUAUGGAAAAACUUUUGAUAGUUGUCUUGAAAACUUAGACAAGGUUUUGCAAAGAUGUGAAGAAAAGCACUUAGUCCUUAAUUGGGAAAAAUGUCAUUUUAUGGUUAGAGAAGGAAUAGUGCUGGGACACCUAGUGCCUGAAAGAGGUAUUGAGGUAGAUAAAGCUAAAAUUGACGUAAUUGAACAACUACCUCCACCUGUGAAUAUAAAAGGAAUUCGAAGCUUUCUUGGCCAUGCUGGUUUUUAUCGUAGAUUCAUAAAAGAUUUUUUAUUUAUUGCUAGACCACUUACUCUUUUGCUAGCCAAGGAUGCUCCUUUCGUAUUUGAUGAUGCAUGUCUAACAUCUUUCAAUUUAUUAAAGAAAGCACUCAUCUCUGCACCAAUCAUUCAACCCCUGAUUGGUCGUUGCCUUUUGAAAUUAUGUGUGAUGCUAGUGAUUAUGCUGUGGGGGCAGUUUUGGGACAAACUAAAGAUAAGAAGCAUCAUGCAAUUGCUUAUGCCAGUAAAACUUUGACAGGAGCUCAACUUAAUUAUGCAACCACCGAAAAAGAGCUUCUGGCUGUUGUCUUUGCCAUUGAUAAAUUUAGAUCUUAUUUAGUUGGAGCUAAAAUAAUUGUUUACACUGAUCAUGCUGCACUAAAAUAUUUGCUCACUAAAAAAGAUGCUAGACCUCACCUGAUUAGAUGGAUCUUAUUACUCCAAGAAUUUGACUUAGAAAUAAAAGAUAAAAAGGGAGUAGAAAAUUCUGUUGCUGAUCACUUGUCUAGAAUGUAUUUUAAGAGUCCACAGGAAACCCCCAUCAAUGAUUCACUCCGGGACAACAUGCUCUACGGGAUUAACAGGUCUGACCCCUGGUAUGCAGAUAUUGUUAAUUCUAUGGUUUCAGAGUAUGUACCACCAGGAGCAAACAAGAAGAAGCUUAUUCAAGAAAGUCGUUCACAUAUAUGGGAUGAGCCAUACCUCUUCCGAGUAUGCUCUGAUGGCUUACUCAGGAGAUGUGUGACCACUGAAGAAGGAUGGAAGAUCAUCGACAGAUGUCAUUCAUCACCAUAUGGAGGUCACUAUGGAGCAUUUCGUACACAUUCAAAGAUCUGGCAGUGUGGAUUCUACUGGCCUACAAUGUAUGAAGACACGAAGCAAUAUAUCAGAAGAUGUGGGCCAUGUCAAAGGCACGGAAACAUAAAUACAAGGGAUGCAAUGCCACUCACCACCAACCUUCAGAUUGAGCUCUUUGAUGUCUGGGGAAUAGACUAUACGGGUCCAUUUCCUCCAUCAAAGAAGUGUGAGUACAUCUUGGUGGCAGUUGACUAUGUCUCCAAGUGGGUAGAGGCAUUACCUUGCAAGCAUGCCGACAACAUCAGUUCAAAGAGGAUGUUUGAAGAAAUUAUAUUUCCAAGAUUUGGAGUCCCCAGAGUAGUGAUAAGUGAUGGAGGAGCACACUUCAUCAACAAAUGCUUCAAGCAAUAUCUAUCAAAACAUGGAAUCCGUCACAACGUCGCUACCCCCUAUCAUCCUCAGACAUGUGGCCAAGCAGAGACUUCCAACAAACAAAUCAAGAAUAUUCUUCAGAAGACAGUAAAUGAAAUGGGAACGGCAUGGAAAGACAAGUUACCCGAUGCACUCUGGGCAUACCGGACAGCAUACAAGACCCCAAUUGGAAUGUCACCAUACCAAUUGGUGUACGGGAAGACUUGCCAUCUACCUGUUGAACUAGAGUUCAAAGCACACUGGGCCAUAAAGAGAUGGAAUAUGGACCUAGAUGUUGCUGGAGAUUAUAGAAGAAUGCAACUAUCAGAAUUGGAAGAAUGGCGAGAGAAAGCAUAUCACAAUUCAAAGAUCUACAAAGAAAGAGUCAAAAGGUGGCAUGACAAGAGAAUCAAGAAGAAGGAGUUCACACCCGGAGAUAAGGUAUUACUUUUUAAUUCUAGGGUAAAGCUUUUCGGGCAUGGAAAACUCCGGAGCAAAUGGGAAGGACCAUUCAAGGUAAUUAAUUCAUCAUCCCACGGAGCCAUCACACUUCAAAAUGACGAAGGUACGUUAUUCAAGGUAAAUGGCCAACGUCUUAAAUUAUUUUUAGAGCCAAUAAAGAAUUAUAAGAAAUAGACAUAGUCUAUUUUUACCUUCCCAUGGAGAAUUAGAGCCCGACCUUUUUAGUCUGAUGUUUUCGGGUCAUAUAUAUAUUUUUCUAAAUAGUUUUGCAUCCAGUAACGCGCUCGAGAAAGUGGGCCCAUAGAGGGGCCAGAGAGAGGGCGGGCGCCCAGCUCAGGUGGGCGGGCGCCCAGCUCCUGUUCCCCCUCGGUCCCGAUUUUCUCUGUUAUGGAAAAUGCACUUAUGGUAAUCCGAAUAAUCCCUCAGAUGGAAAGUUUCGCACGCACAUCGACGGGAGCAACCCAAACAACCCAUAGAGGCACUUUUUGACCCCUAUAUAAACAGACCCCUGACCUCAGUUUUCAAACGCCAAGCCAUCAAGUCUUCUCUUCUUCUUCAAUUAGAGCUUGAUUAGUUCCUUACUGCUCCAAUGGCCGAGAAGUACCACGAUGAUUGGGAAGUCGUCCCCUUCAACCUCAACAUGGAGCCUGUGGAAGACCCCGAUGCCCGUGCUCUCGUCCCGGCCAACACAGAGCGACAGCUAGAAGCCAUGCCAUUACGCCAGCGCAGCUCUGCCUAAUCCUACCAUGCUCAACCAGUUCUCACCGCACCGCCACAACCCCUACUCCUCACGGGAUCAUCAUCCAAGACGAAGACCACCAUCAAGGUGCCAACCGGCACAAGGAUCCUUCCACCUAGACCCAAUGAGAGAGUCGUUGGAGUCAAGACCAACCGGAGCGGCGAGAUCAGCAGCGUACGCUACACUAUGGAGGAGGAAAGGCCUUACUUCGAAGGGAUUAGAGCAGCCAAAGUCCGUUUCAUCCCUCCAAAGGCAGCCCCGAAGCACGCUCUCAAUGCUUUUGAGACACCUCCUAAGCGUCGCAAGACUAUAGUCGAUAUUGAUGAGGACGUUCGUAGAAUAGACAGAAUUAUCAUAGACCUCCAGUCCUCGAUUAACUCCCUCACUAGGCAGCUCUCUAACCACAACACCAUCAUACUAGGCCUCAGGCAGGAUCUUGCUAGUGCCAACAAGAAGAUUAAGGAAUUAUAGCGCCGCUAAGUUAUCUAGAUUAGACCUUGAGACAAUGCAUCUUAGUUAUCUAUCUUUAAAUUCGGUUUAGGUUUACUAUUAUCAUCAGUUUGCUACUAGUUAUUUGUAAUAAAUGCCUCAAGAUUAAUAAAGAGUAUUAUUAUUAUUAUUAUUAUGUCUUGUGUGUCUCUACUUUAUUUUUGUGCAAGAAAGCAGAAAACAAGUAUGGGGGAGAUCCCUCAACAUGCCAAACACACUCCGACUACACCACUCCACGAUUCAGGUACACACUCUGCACACUUUACUUUACACCUACACAUAUCUUAGAUUAUGCAGAAUACUGUUUCCGACAAGAUAAAUUAAAAAGAUUAAAACAUUUCUAAUCAUGAUUAAUCUCACUCUGUUAUAUUUCCUGAAACUUGCAAUUAUUAUAAAAUCAUUUUAAAACCAUGUGUUACUUAAGAUAGUAUGGAAUGUGAGAUGGUAGAGUACGAGUUUCUUAUUCUUGAUAUCAUUGUUACUUGGAGAAUUUAUUUCAAAAUCUUCAAAAUUCUAGCUACCAUCCUCAGUGUUUUAUAUGCCUGAUAAAACUGAAAAUAUUAAUUAUGAUUAUAAAAGCUAUCUACUCUGUAUUGAGUUUGUUCAAAAUGAGUUAGACCCUUGUUGAGAGAUUAAUCAUGCUCCUAAGAUCAAGACAUUUAUUCAGAAAGAUUCACUCUUCCGAAGUAUUAUUGCAUUAGAGGCAUGGGCUAUGCAAAAAUAAAGAUAUUUUGAGGAAAUAAAAAGGAGCAAGUGCUCGACAACCUCGUAGAAAAAAUGGACAAGUGUCCAGCAGUAGAAUUAGGGAUACCUCGGUAUCCACUGAAAAAAAGAGAAGAAAAAGAGAAAAUGAUAGCCCAUGGUCCCUCUAAUAAGCAAUAUACCAGCAAGAGUUGACAAAGAUUUUAAUUUCCAAAGUCUUUGAUCUAAGAGUAUGACAUUCCCCUCCUCGAAUCCCGUUUUGAUCAGGCAAUAAAUGCAAAGUAAGUAUGCUUAAGAAUUUUUGCAAAUUAAAACAGCCUCAGUGAGAUAUAUAGAAGGUAAUGAGUGAUCUGAGAGAACCUAUGAGGAUAAAAGGUAUGCAAACUUUCUUUCAAAAAUAUACAAAAACUCCAAGUGACAGGAUUGAGAAGAAAGGAUCUUUAAUCUUAACCAUAUACUUCCCUGACUAUAGUACACAGUGGAUUUUUACACCCUACAGUUAUGAAGAGAAUGUCUUUAAAAUGUUUUACCCCAGAUAUUGUUCUUAACCAUCCUUUUCUCGAGGACGAGUAAAAGCCUAAGUAUGGGGGUAUUUGUUGACGGUUCUUAAGUACCAAUUUUAAUUAUCAAAUAAACAAGAGAAUGGACCAUUAUGCAAACAACACCUAGAAUUAGGGUUUGAUCUGACAGAAUUCCAUGAGUUUUGUUGUUUAUCUGUUUCUGCAGGGGGUUAUCAGGAAAUAAGGAAGAAAGGCCCACAUGUCGGGAUUACAUAGAGAUAUCAACGCACCGCGUGAUUUUCUACCAUCUAGAAGACUCCAGAAGCCACGGGAAGAAAGCAGAGGCCGAAAGGGGCCAGGCCCAGGGCGCCCGCCCUGGUGACCUGGGCGCCCACCCCCUGCUGGAAGCCAUUCAGGACUCUCUUCGCACAUGAUGUUCCACCGACCUAUUGGAUCCAGAAUAACGUAGUACUACCUCGCCUACCGACCCAAAAACGCAUAGAGGAGGAGGACUAUAUAAGGAGACCCCCUGGCCCCUCGAGAAGACAUGAAGAAGUUAUCAUAGAGAUUGAGGGGUGCCCUCGAAGGAAAACCUCUUCUCUAAUUAAUAUUUCUUUUUAGGCUUAGCAACCAAUGUAAAGUAGAAAUAGAUCUUCUAGUUUCUACUAGAUUGAGAGAGAUAGAGUGGAGGUGUAGAUUGGAGGAAGACCGGCCUGUCGGUGUCUACUCCAAGCUUGUACCUGCGGGAUCAAGUUCUCCUAACCCGAAGCUUACUCCUAGGAUUCUUCAGUAUUUCGACUUCUAAAUUCUAGUAAGUUCUUGUUUUAUUGUUCUUCUGGUUUAUGAGUUUACUUUAAUCUCUUCGUGUAGAGUUUAGAGUAAUCAUUGCUGGCGUAAACGUGGUGUUUAGGCUGGGGUACUCAUAGAUAUUCCCUGACUAGCUAGACCGUGGUAGUAGCGAGGAACGUGACAAUUCCGAGUUACCUUUGCAGACCAUAUCUCGUUAGCAGGAAGGAUAGGGUUUAUAGGUGUGGGUUGAACAUCCUUUGUGGUGUCUAGAUUCCGUUAGCCUCCCCAAUAGAACAGUAGAUCAUCCUUACCAAGGUUAGAAGGAGACUACGGUUGCAGUCUUCUCUAUUUAUCACUCACAUCAAAAGACAUUCUUUGUGCCUAAAGGGUUAGUAGUAAUAGACCAGUUAGUCAGAUGCACUCUUUCUCCCAGUGGUAAAAAAAUAAAUACGAUACUCUGGAUAACCUCCCGGGUGAAGUGCUCACCGAUAUCCGUGCGCUUGCGAAUCAAUUCCUUAUUGCGUUCCCAAAUAUCAACAUGGUACACUCCAUUUUUGGAGGGAAAGUCUCCAUCGAGUCAAAACAAGAAAGAAAACUCUUGAAGAGGGCUUGCCUCAAUGUGGACUGCGCCGAUGGUUUGAUCGCCGACCCUAAAUUCCCCCUAGUUGCACCGAGAGAUUUCCUUCAGCAGACAGGACCAGUGGGCUGCCAUCCCUGAACCAGGGCGCUUCCCGUUAAUCCUAGACCCGUGCAUCAACAGCGUCAGGUUUGAGCGCGUGCUCGUCGACGGGGGUAGCUCCAUCGACAUCCUGUUUCGCAACAGCCUGCCUGCUCUCAAGCUAACUCCGGCGCAGCUGAAACCAUAUGACGCUCAGUUCUGGGGCGUCCUGCCAGGUCAAAGCUCAGUACCCCUUGGCCAGAUAACGCUGCCCGUCCAAUUUGGGACACCAGACCACUUCCGCAUAGAGUUCGUCAACUUCGUGGUCACCGACUUUGACGGGACCUACCAUGCAAUUCUAGGCCAUCCUUCGCUCACCAAGUUUAUCGCAGUUCUGCACUACUCAUACCUGGUCCUCAAGAUGCCAACCGAGAAGGGCGUUUUAACCGUCAGAGGCAACGUCUACAUGGCAUACACCUACGAAGAGGAAAGCUUCAAGAUCACCGAGGCAAUCGACCUCUCGAUUCGCAUGGCAGAAACGGUAGCACAAGCAACACAAAUAUCAGCCGACCAGCUCAAACUACCCGAGCAGGAGACUUCAAGAAAAAACACCAAGUCCAAGGAGCACAAGGAAGUCCAACUGGUCGACGGCAGCCCAGAGAAGAUGGCUCUCAUCGGGGCCAAUCUGGACGCCAAAUAGGAAGACACGCUCGUCAGGUUUCUAAGGGACAACGUAAGCGUUUUCGCAUGGAAACCUGCGGACAUGCCCGACGUCCCACGAAGCCUGAUCGAGCACUCCUUAAACAUCUCGAAGACCGCAAGACCUAUCAAGCAAAAGCUACGACAGUUCGCUUGUGACAAAAAGGAGGCUAUUAGGACAGAGAUUACACAACUUUUAGUAGCCGGGUUUAUUAAAGAAGUGUAUCACCCCGAUUGGCUCGCCAAUCCGGUCCUUGUAAGAAAAAAGAAUAAUGAAUGAAGAAUGUGCGUUGAUUACAUCGAUCUCAACAAACACUGUCCUAAAGAUCCUUUUGGUCUUCCCCGCAUAGACGAAGUGGUCGACUCAACGGCCGGAUGCGAACUACUUUCUUUUCUCGAUUGUUACUCUGGUUACCACCAGAUCUCGUUAAAAGAGGAUGAUCAGAUUAAAACCUCCUUCAUCACUCCUUUCGGUGCAUAUUGCUACACCACCAUGUCCUUUGGACUAAAAAACGCUGGAGCCACCUAUCAACGUGCCAUUCAACAAUGCCUCCACGACGAGAUACGCAACGACCUCGUCGAGGCUUACAUCGACGAUGUUGUCGUUAAGACCAGGGACGCUAGCACUCUAAUCGACAACCUAGAACGCACAUUUAAAGUGCUAAACAAGUACAAGUGGAAGCUUAACCCCAAAAAAUGCAUCUUCGGGGUCCCCUCCGGCAUACUGCUCGGCAACGUCGUCAGCCGCGACGGCAUACGACCAAACCCUUCAAAAGUCAAGGCGGUACUCGAUAUGCGACCACCCAGAAACAUCAAAGAUGUUCAAAAGCUCACACGAUGCAUGGCUGCUCUAAGCCAGUUUAUUUCUAGGCUGGGAGAAAAAGGGCUUCCUUUCUUUAUGCUGCUAAAGGCAUCCGAGAGAUCCUCCUGGACAGAAGAGGCCAAUAUCACAUUCGCCCAGCUCAAAACUUUCAUCACCUCACCACCCGUCCUCACUGCGCCUCAACCUAACGAGGACCUGCUCCUCUAUAUAGCAGCAACUGAUCGGGUUGUCUCUACGGUGCUCGUAGUAGAGCGGGAUGAGCCAGGCCAUGUCUACAAAUUUCAGAGACCAGUAUACUUCAUAAGCGAAGUCCUAAACGAAUCCAAGACCAGGUAUCCCCAGAUACAAAAAUUAAUCUAAGCCAUCUUAAUCACCUUAAGGAAGCUGAAGCACUACUUCGAUGGCCAUCACGUUUUAGUUACUACGAGUUUUCCGUUGGGGGACAUCUUGCGCAACAAGAACGCCAACAGUAUAAUUGUAAAGUGGGCCAUGGAAUUAUGCCCAUUGUAACACCCUAAAUUUUGCUUCUUUGAAAAUAGAGAUAAAAUAAUUUAUUUUGUAUUUUUGUGCUCAUAAAAAUAUAGUAAAAUGAAAUUUUUCCUUAAAUUAAUAUUCAUCAUAGGGUUUAGCAACGUUGUUGUGCAUACAUGCCGGUACAUAUGUUUUAUGUGAUGUUUGUUUGUUGCUCCUUUGUGUGUUGAGACUAAGCAAAGUUUUUAAAAUUGCGUUAAGUAGAACGAUCUUCCUUGGUCAGUACAUCUUUACCUUUAUCUACAACCAAAUCCCUUGUUUCUAAGCUCAAGUUUUUAUUACGAGCUUCCUAAAAUCUUUUCUUUAUCACCUAAAUUCCUUCUUUUAGUUUCUCAUUCAUCAAGCAGUCUCUACAACGUGAUCGCCCUCAGUCCGGUGUCGAUCCGUCCGUCGCCCUGCUUUCCAUCUCCGCUUCGUACUUAUCUGCGAAAUCUCUAUUGGUGAGUUUGUUUUCCCCGCAUCAAAUCGUGGCCGUAGGCUUAAGUUUCAUGCUCGCCGGCUAGGAGCUCGUUGCUGCCAAUGGCUGGCUUCCAGGCGUGUGCUCUGCUCCAAUUAGUUUACCUUGGUUUCUAAAUCAAAAUACGUUUUCAGUAAUUACAAAAUUGCCACCAGAUUUGUUUAGCUCAUAAAAUCUUCAUUUUAACUCCGAUUUGAUCCAUUCAAAUUGCGUUAGUUUCGUAAUCACAAGAUCUACAUGUUAGUCUCACUGUUUUACAAGUUUACAACUUUUUAUUUUCGUGAACCUAUUUAAUUAAUUAUUUUAUUAAAGGAAAUCUUAGAAAAUUCAUAUCUUUUUUGUUAUAUCUCCGAUUUUCGUGAUCUUUAUGUCUGUGUGAUCGUAGUGCAACGUAGAUUCAUUUUAUAAACUUUUCAUCUUUAUUUUCUACUGUUGGUGUAUUGUUCUAAUUAUAGGUUUGUUUGCUUUGUAUGAUUGCCUCUAGAUGAUUGUUGUUGAUGUUUUGACUGAGUUUAGACGGUGAGCUUUUACGUGGUGAUCAAGAAGCAGUUUAUGGAAGGUUUGGAACUAAAAGAAGGAUCUGAGUUUUAAGGCAAGUAUAGCAUGGGAUCAACCUUGUUUUCUAAUAACUUUAACCACACAAUUCAUAUUGCAUGUGUCUCUUUGCUAAGAAUUUCCUAGUAUUGAUCUUAUAACUUGUCACCUAUGGUUUUGCAUUGGGUAGCUUGCGCUAGUGCUCUACUAAACCAUGACAUUGUAAUUUGAUUAAUGGAAUAUGCAAUAAACAUUAAAAGAGGACUUUUUAGCAACUUUGGUAAAGAGGGCUGGAGCAUUGGGCUAUCUUAUGGUGCUCUAGUUUCUCUCCAUAAGGACUUAUCUGUAUCUGACCAUCCGGGACAUACAGUACAACUGUGAGGGCUACAUGGCUCUGGCUUUAGCUCAGUAUGAGGACCUUUUCUAGCUUGUUAGUGGUUACCCAUGUGGCGCAAAUGGGGAAUAGCAGACCAUGGAUUCCUGCGGGUGAAUCACAUGGACUGACUAAUGAAACCAAGCGGCCCUAACUUGUUAGACGAACCUUUGAAAGGCUUCAUAGUGAACCGUGUCGGCCUCCCUAGGAAGGGGGUUAAGAGAUUAGCUACCUCGGGCGAAAGGGUAAAUCACGACUCACAGUGAAAGUGUACAACCUCUGCAGAGUGUAAAACUGAUAUAUCAGCCGUGCUCACGGUCACGAGCGGCCUUCGACCAAUACAGAAUAAAUGAUCACUAAUGGCAAAUUAUUAAAGUUAUUGUUGUUAAUAUGUUGUUUAUGCUAUUCUUUAUUCAUUUUACCUGAUCAUGAGUUUACUAUGGGACUUGACAACUUGAUGCUACUCAUAUGCUAAAAUUGUGACAACUAAAAGCUACAUGCAGUUCAACCAGUGUCUAGCCUUUGAGCCUCAUGAACCCUAUGCUAUUCUUGCUGAGUACGAGAUGUACUUACGCUUGCCUUUACAUUUUAUUUGGAUAAAAAUCCUGGAUGGGUACCAGAUUGCUAGUUUGGAGAAGAGUUUAGGCUUGUGCUCAACCAGUCAGUUGUCCCUGUAGAUUUGGAGCUUUCGCCUGAAGAACGGAGUGUCUUUCCGCUGUUUGCUAUCUAAGGUUAUAUCUUUUAUACUAAGUUCGUUAUAUAUAAGCAUUGUUUAUUGAUAUUACCCCUAUUUGUGGCUAUAUGUGAGAUUUGACUUCCUGGGCUCACAUAUGGUGUGUAUCUGGUUUUGUCCUUAAAACCGGGUGCUACAAAGUGGUAUCAGAGCAAUGCUGGCUGUAGGACGCAAGCCUAGUUAGAAAUUGGCCAUCUUAAGGAUUUGAAAUUGCUAUAAGAUCCUUGCUCUAUAAACCUUGAUAUUUUCCUCUACACUAUAUCAUUUCCCUUGCUAUUCAUCUCCACCUUGUUGCUGGUUUUAAAGUCUUGUUCUCACCCUCACUCCUUGCUUUGAUAUGCUAUUAGGACUUUGUCUCACCACUUUCUUAUGUCAUUAAAUGAGAAGCUUUAGGAUCUUUACCCUUACUAUGAAGAUAACGAUAGUAUCGCAAGUUGAGUGAGUGUGAACCUUCAAUGCUCAGUUGGUUUGUUAUUAUGCCUAUGCAUGCUUUGGAUCUUUGUAAUGAUUAUAAUGAUUUUGUGGAUUAUUCCAUGAUUUCAUUUAACCUAUAGGUCUAAGGCAUAAGGAUUAAUGAAAUAAAUAGCUUGGGUUUUGGUUAUCUUCAGUUCUCUAUAUCCUAUCACUUCGGAGCAAUCUAUCCUCACCUCUGCUCGUGGGCAAUCAAAAACCACAAGAAAAUUCUGGACAAUGGUAGAUUUCAGUAUCUUUGUCUGACCUCAAGAAUCACCCCUAUAGCUAUUCUGGAACUGGAGUUACGCAAAUCACAAGAUGAUACAGAUGUGCUGUCAAGAACCUGGACCAGUCUCGGUUGCCUACUGUUUUAGAUAAAUUUAACUAUAGAAUUUGGAAAAAAAGUUCUAUAUCAAAGUUAUAGACAAUUUGAUAAGCUUUCCAACAGUGUAAACCCCAACUUUAUCGGAUUAAUGGAACAUGAGUUAUGACAUUUAGAAUUUGAUGCUUCUGCAUUGUUUCAAAGUCUGGACAGUUCUAGUUAGUUCCUAUUUGUCAGCCAAAUCAACUUCAGAAUCUAGGAAAGUGUUAUAUACAGAAGUUGUGGAGGACUCCCUAAUCUUUUCAACCAUGUAAGGCUCGUCCCCAUAUGAUUUUUGUAGCUCGAGAUAUGGCUGCUGCAAGUUACCACAACUGCGCUGACAAACUGUCUGGACAGAUAUCAUGCUUGGCUAUUUUACCCAAACUUAAUUUCAGAACCUGAGAAAGUAUUCUAUACGAAAGUCAUAGAGGAUUUUGUCAGAUUUCCCAUGGUGUAGGCCAGAAGUAUAUCAGAUUGAUGGAGUAUGAGUUACAACUGUUUUACUAAGCUGCGGAUUUUCAUCUCGUGUGGAAUUUUAGAUUUCUUGUACUUGUCAGUGCACAUGAGUUAGAAGAUCUCAUGAUAAGUGUUGAUGCAAAACUGAUCUGCAAACACAAAGGGCUAAUACCCGAUUCAAACGUUAAGGCGUGCCAGCCGAUUUGACCUUACUAUCGGCAAAGGUGAUAACUCGAAUACUUUAGUCCUGACAACAGCGAUGCGCCCGGAUGUCACGGCUAAGAGGUACUCACGCGGAACUCGAGAACACACCGAGCUUAAGUCGACGAAUUCCUAAGAACUCGUAAUAAAAAGAAAAAAAAGUAUGACGAAGUCGUCGAAAAGUAGAUGCUGGAAUAUGAGUAAAAACGUGUGUUUGAUUGAUUUCUUGAUUUGAUUACAAGGCCCUAGGGUCUAUAUUUAUACCCUGCUCAAAGAGCUACAACCAGACACGAUUAGAAUUCGAAUUCCAAAUUAUACGGAAUCCGUAUACAAAACGAUGCAAAUAAUUAAGGAAAUAACAAAACUAUCCCUCGUGACAAACCAAAACUCCUCCACAUAACGACCGGCAGCUUCCAGACUCCUCCUUUGCAUCAUCGGCAGAUCCUUUGCCAUAGUCAUCGGCAGACUUUCUUAUCUAGCCAUCGGCACCAUAUUACUGCCUGUCACAUUCAACUUCUCCCUCAUCGGCAACCAUCCUCAUCGGCAACCCGCAUCGUACUGCCACCUUAUCCUGCCAUCCUAGACACGUGUCCAAAAACGGUGUCAACACAUGCCCCCCAGUUUCGGAGUAUAAAACUAUUAAUGCUCCGAAAUUCUCUGCAGUAAUGAUGCCUUCUCCCGCAAUUAAUGCUCCUAAUCUGGUAACCGACAACCUCAAUCUGGACAACUCUGAUCCUAAUCCUCCGCAGAUUCCUCGAAAUCCCCAACUUCCUAAACGGGCAUUUUUCUUGGUCGUACAUCGGCAACAAUACCGUUACAAAGAUCUGCCGAUGCUCUGACAAGGAUAUUCGCAAAAACGGUUACCUCCCCUCUAUCCGCCCAUCGGCAAGAUGACCGUUAUAGAAUAUCGCCGAUGGACCGACCAGGAGAUCUCGCACAGUAAAAUAUCUUCAGAUAAUGACCGCUUCCCGUCAAAUCACCUGCACAAUCCCUGGAUUACUGUGCGAACAGUUACCAUAUCCACCUGAGUACCCUCGGGUUUCUCGGAUGCGGCAAAGAGAUAAGUCGGAUUUGCCCUUGCCCAUCUUGUCCUAUAAAUAGUUCCUUCUUGGGUACUCCUUCCCCAUCACACCAUUCUACUACCCAACUUUACUUUUCCAGCGGCGGCGCCAUUUACAACCUUCAAGACCUCCGACAAGCACUCCUCUUCAUCAACUCCGGUGCCCUCCAACGUCCUCUUCACGACAAGAUGGCCAUUGGCUUCGUCGUCCCUGAGGUCAGAUCUCCAUCUCAUCUUCUGUAUUUUUUUAUUCCUAUUCAUCCGCGAUUCAUCUUACUGAAUAUUCUCCUUUUCCUUUUUCUUUGUAUUUUUAUUCCCCCAAAAUCACUAGGAGUUGUCCAAUAAAAUUGUCAUCCCCACCGAUCAACCACACCUUCAAUGUCUCGGCCCUCUAGGGGAUUCAGAUCCAACCAACCUUAUCAACGCAGAAACCAAUAGGAUCCCCUUCAGAGCUGAAAACUUUUCUUUAGAUCUGUGGAAAGACUCUUUUCGCUCUUGGCCCAGCCCUACUGUAGGGUGGAAAGACUGGUUCUUGAGGGUCAGCAAUUCUUAUGAAGUCCAGUGGGGCGAAAGGAAGCUAGCCCAAUGCAUUAGGCUAUCCAUUGCCGAUAUGCACAGGAACGAGUCACUGCUGAUAGCUGCGUCCUACUUUUGGUCAGACACCCUCAAUGCUUUUGUUUUUGGCCACGGCCCUGCUUCUCCUACCCUUGCCGAUGUAGCCAUGCUCACUGGUCUAGAUAUAUCUUCUGCCGAUAGCACCCACUUUUUUGAUACUGCCCCCAGUGCCAAAGUGGAGACUCGCGCUAUCGGCGGUUGGUCAGGGUACAUUCAGAAGUACCGCGGGAGAGGGCCUGUCACCAUAAAGGAGCAAACCACCUUUCUGAACAUGUGGCUGGACAAGUUUGUAUUCUGUGGUCGAUCGGCAGGACCGACUUCUGUCUAUCUAUCGGCAGCAGAGAGACUGGCUAACGGUGGCCAAUUUCCUCUCGGCCGAUACUUGCUUGGCGCUGUUUACCACCUUCUCCAUCAGGUAUCCCAGAAACUCCUGCUUGGCCAAUCCAUCGGCAACUUGGGAGGCCCCUGGUGGUUUAUCAAUAUGUGGCUCAAUCUGCACCUGCAUAAGCGCCUUGAUUUCAACUUGUUCUCACAGCACUUCCCAAGAGAUAUAGCCGAAAAUCAUGUGUUGGGUGAAGAGGAAUCGGCAACGCGUGCCCCCUUGAACUUUGGCGAAGCCGUCAUAGUCCUACCUGGUUCAGGGAGUAAUCCGGAUCAGAUCGGCCGAUUCUUCGAGACUCUGUAUGAGGGUUUGGCCAGAGAUGAACGACCAUGGUUGGCUUAUGAUGACCCAGAUAGCAUGCUCCCUCUGACCUUCAAUCCAUUUGAUGAAGCUCUCGACAGGGAUAAUGAGGCGAUGAUGGCAAUUGUGACUCCCAGAGCCAUUCCAGUGAAUUUCUUCGGUAGCACAAAAACUUCUCCCCAGACUUAUGAAUUUUACAAUCCAUCGGCAUUAGCUCGCCAGUUAGCUUUCGGCCAGUUGCCAAUCGCACUUCCUUAUGCCGAUGUGAUAAAACCCAGAGAAACUAUCAAUAACUUUCUUGAGUGGAGUCGAGUAGCCCAACUACCACCAAACGCCGAUACAGAUGUAGAUCUAUCAGAAUGGGUUCCGGCUGCUUUUAUCACUCAGGCAUACAAGUUAUGGUGGGCAGAAUGGAAAGAGCAUCUAUUCUGCAGAUCGGCCCUUUCAUACCGCGGCAUGAUCGACUCCGAAUACGAAAUUCCCGAUGACACUGUAAGUAUCUCCAACCGAUGUUUCAUUUUUUCAACAUUAUUUCCAUCAGUAGCUUAUCCUUGUAUUCUUUUUGCAGGUUGAUAACAUCCCCUCAUCGGUUAGCAGGAGUGGCAAGCCGAUCGACUUAUUUCCAUCAGGCCCGAUUUCCUCAAUCGGCCACAAUGCUCCCACUCUGGCUUCCAUCGUGCAUCGGGGUGCACGCUUCAGGAAAGUUACGACCAGGAGAACCCAGACAUCACCAACGGUAGCUGCUCCCACUCUGGCGCGGGCUUUCAAGGCAAUUUGUCAAAUCUUUAUCUUUUAUGCUGACUAUCUUUAUAUCGGCUAUAUUUAUGCUUAUAAACUCUUGUUCAUUAUUGCAGCAAACCGGCGCAUCGGCGAAAGCUAGGUGUGAGAGUACCGAUGCCCCCCAGUCUAGCCAACCCAAGAGAAAGGGCACCACGGGUGCUAAGACUGGAACAAAGCGCCAGAAGAUAGCAACUCCCCCUCUUCCUCCGGUAUCUCCAAUUCCGGUGGAGUCUUCUCCUUCCUCUCCAGAAGCCCAGCCACAGCAAGCACCGUCUCCCCCAGCUAUGCAGGAAGCACCACAGAUAGAAGAACCCCAACAGGAAGGGUCUCAAUCAGCUGACACGGGUGAACAAACAACUGGCCCAGUGGGUCCAGUUAUACCAUCGGCAGUUCUCCCGAUUCAGACAACCGUCGUCCCUCCUCCAGGUAACAUACUUUAAUAAUAUCGCUACCGAUGAACUUAUUCUUAUUUAGUCUCACAACUCCUUUUGUCUUCUUUCAGUUGAUACUGUUCCAUCGGCAAUCUCAGCCGAUCAACCUGUAGCUCCAUCGGCAUCUUUGGCCGAUCAGCCUGCAGCUCCGUCAGCCCUUCUCAGUCAAAGACAAGAGAUCGCCUUGAAGCAAGUGAGUCACCGUUUACCGUUAGCACUAUUUGCCGAUUCUCUAAGUAUGAGCUAAUUUUGCUUUCCGUCCCAGGAACAAGAUUCUCCCGAUAGCCUGUUCUCCUUCGCCAUCGAUUUCUCUGAAGAAGAGGGUGAAGAAGCAAGCACUUCUCGGACGGUUGGCAUCACAUCGGCAGAUGUCAGGGUCAGGCUGGAAGAAUUAUCAGCUCUCCUUCACCAGGACACAGCGCAAUUGGUUGAUGAUUCCGACCCUACCAAGACCCUGUUCAGAACUCUCAGAGGCCAAAUCCCAGCCGAUGUCGAAGAAAUCCUGUUCCAAGCCGCUCAUCUGGAGAGUCGCCAGCUGCAGUACCAAAGAGCUUCUCGGCGGCUUGCCGAUAGAGCCGCUCAAACUCAACUCUCCGAUGAGAUGAGGAAAGAGAAGCUUUUGACCGAUGAGAAGCACAAGAACAUCGGUAUCCUGAGAUCUUCUGGAGACGCGCUGAAGCAGAAGAUAUCCGAUCUAUCGGCAAGAAAAGAGUCCCUGUUGGCAGAGCUCAAGGAAGUAGAGAACGCUCUGUCCCAAGCCCAACAGGAAGAGAGCCAAUUGCCAGAGACCAUCAGGCUUCUUGAGCGCGAACGAAAUGCUCAUGGUCGCAAAGCGCUCCAACUGAAGAAGAAGCUGAAGCCGAUAGAAGGUUCUGCCGAUGAUGACAUCAAGGAGAUAGAAGCAGCCAACCAAAUUCGGCUACGUGCUAUAUCGGCUAUCCAGACGCUGCUUAACACAUAGAGUUUCCAUCGGCAUUGUAUCUGCGCUUUCCUGCUUCCUCAGCUUUUAGUCUAGCCGAUAGGACUGUUAUCGGCGCCUAAACUUUUGAAACGCCAAGUCUUGUCCCCAAUCAUUUGGAUCCAGCCGAUAGGAGUGUUAUCGGCACCUAAACUUUUAUGCAUCGACCCAUAUACUGGGGUAAUACUUCUUUAAAUAUUUGCCGUUUAAUGCUCUGGGAAAUUCAAUUCCUUCGAGGGUUUCUAGAAUGUAGGCAUUACCGGGAGCCGAUCGACUUAUCCGAUAAGGACCCUCCCAAUUAGGAGACCACUUCCCAAACUUCGAGCUUUUGGUCCCAACUGGUAAAAUUAAUUUCCAUACCAAAUCUCCAUCGGCAAACUCUUUAGCCUUCACUUUCUUAUCAUACCAUCUAGCAACUCUUUUCUUAUUUUCUUCUAUACUCGUUAAAGCUUUUAACCGAUGCCCUGCUAGAUCAUCCAAUUCAUCGGUCAUCAAAGUGGCAUAAUUGUCGAAAGUUAAUUGAUCUUGAAAAGAUAAUCGCCUAGAUCCAGCCUUAAUUUCCCAAGGCAACACUGCAUCAUGUCCAUACACCAAUUGAUAGGGUGAUACCUUGGUCGAUCCAUGACAAGCCAUCCGAUAAGACCACAAUGCUUCAUUUAAUAAUGUAUGCCACCGCUUAGGAUUUUCUUCAAUCUUUCGUUUAAUAAGCUUGAUAAUUCCUUUGUUAGACGCUUCGGCCUGCCCAUUGGCUUGAGCAUAAUAAGGAGAAGAAUUCAACACUUUAAUUCCCAUACCGAUUGCGAAUUCAUCGAACUCCCCCGACGUGAACAUGGUGCCCUGAUCGGUAGUAAUCGUUUGGGGAAUCCCAAAUCGGUAAAUAAUAUGCUCCUUCACAAAAUCAAUCAUAUUGGCCGAUGUGACUUUCUUCAAAGGAAUAGCUUCAACCCACUUAGUGAAAUAGUCAGUGGCAACUAGAAUGAACUUAUGCCCUUUGCUAGAUGGUGGAUAAAUCUGGCCGAUCAGAUCGAUGGCCCAUCCCCGGAACGGCCAAGGUUUUAUUAUAGGAUUCAUAGCCGAUGCGGGUGCUCUCUGGAUAUUACCAAACUUUUGACAACCUUGACAUCCCUUGAAAUAUUUAAAACAAUCUUCAAGUAUGGUUGGCCAAAAAUAUCCAUUCCUCCGAAUCAUCCACUUCAUCUUAAAAGCUGACUGAUGCGCUCCACAUACUCCUUCAUGGAUUUCCCCCAUCAAACUUCUGGCUUCAUCAUCACCCAAGCAUCGGAGAAGAAUUCCGUCGAUAGUUCGAUAAUACAAUUCAUUUUCAAGGAGCACAUACUUGGUUGCUUGAAAUCGAACCCGUCUUUCAACUUUUUUGGAUGGAUCUUUUAGAUAAUCAAUAAUUUCUUUCCUCCAAUCACCGGCACCGACUGCCGAUGUCGCAUUAAUCAUUGGCUGAUAUCCCGAGGCAUGCUGAGCUAACCGAUUAGCGUCUUCAUUAUGCAAUCGGGGAACAUGCUCCAAUCGGAAAUCCUUGAAUUCCUUUAACAGUUGCAUACUUCUCUCGAAAUAAGUUAUGAGAACUUCACUUCGGCAUUCAUAGCUUCCGGCCAAUUGAUUUAUAACCAACAUAGAAUCCCCGAAUAUUUCAACAGCAUCAGCACGAACUUCUCUUAACAACUCCAAUCCCUUGAUCAGAGCUUGAUACUCAGCCUGAUUAUUUGUUGAUGUGGCAACAAUCGGCAAGGAAAACUCAUACUUCCUCCCCUUAGGGGAAACCAAUACAAUGCCGAUUCCUGCCCCCCGGUCACAGGUAGAUCCAUCAAAGAAGAGCGUCCAGGGUACAAUUUCCAAGGUUUCCACCAGACCGCAAUGCUGAGUCACAAAAUCGGACAUAAUCUGCCCUUUGACCGCCUUAGCCGAUUCGUAACGCAAAUCGAACUCCGACAGCGCUAAAAUCCAUUUACCGAUCCUACCACUCAUAAUCGGCAUAGAUAGCAUGUAUCGGACCACGUCAUCUUUGCAAACAACAGUGCAUUCGGCCGAUAACAGGUAGUGUCUCAGCUUGAUACAUGAAAAAUAUAAGCAUAAGCAUAGUUUCUCAAUGGCCAAAUACCUGGUUUCAGCAUCAAUCAACCUCCUACUCAAAUAAUAAAUUACCCUUUCUUUCCCUUCAAAUUCUUGAACUAAAGCUGAACCGAUAACCGAUCCAUCGGUAGAUAAAUACAAUCUGAAGGGCUUCCCUUGUUGAGGUGGAACUAGAACUGGAGGAUUUACUAGAUACUUCUUGAUUUCAUCCAGAGCAAACUGCUGUUCUUCUCCCCAAAUAAACUCUUGAUCGGCUUUCAAUUUAAGAAGAGGACUGAAAGCACGAAUCCUACCAGACAAAUUCGAUAUAAAUCUCCUGAUAAAAUUUACCUUGCCGAUCAAGGAUUGGAGCUCGGUUUUGUUGGUAGGGGCCACUAUUUUAUUGAUGGCAUCAAUAGAUAUUCGACUAAUUUCAAUACCCCUCUGAUGUACCAUGAAACCAAGAAACUGCCCUGCCGAUACGCCAAAUGCGCACUUGUUGGGAUUCAUCUUCAAUCCAUGCUUCCUUGUGCACUCUAACACUUUUUGUAAAUCGGCAAGAUGCUUUGAGAAAUCUCCAGACUUAACCACCACAUCAUCAAUAUAAAUCUCUACAAGCUUGCCGAUGAACUCAUGAAAUAUAAAAUUCAUAGCCCUUUGGUAAGUAGCACCAGCAUUCUUCAACCCAAAAGUCAUGACUAUCCAUUCAAAUAGUCCAACAUGACCAGGACACCUGAAUGCGGUUUUUGGAAUAUCCUCCUCUGCCAUGAAUAUUUGAUUGUAACCUGCAUUACCAUCCAUGAAGCUGAUGACCCGAUGGCCAGCCGCAGCAUCAACCAGUAGAUCGGCGACAGGCAUUGGGUAUCCAUCCAUCGGCGUAGCUUUAUUGAGAUUCCUGAAAUCAAUGCACACCCGAAGCUUCCCGUUCUUCUUGUAAACCGGAACAACAUUGGAAAUCCAUUCGGCGUACCGACACUGCCGAAUAAACUUAGCUUCAAUAAGUUUAGUGAUUUCGGCCUUAAUAUCAGGUAGGAUGUUAGGAUUACAUCGGCGAGCUGGUUGCUGAUGUGGCCGAAAUCCAGACUUGAUGGGUAACCGAUGUUCAACAAUUGAUCGGUCUAAACCAGGCAUCUCUGUAUAAUCCCAAGCAAAGCAAUCUUUAUAUUCCUUUAACAAACUAGUCAAUUGUCGCUUACACUCAGGAUCUAAUUUAGCACUAAUAAAAGUAGGCCUAGGCUUAUCACCACUACCUAUAUCUACUUCAACCAAAUCAUCGGCCGAUGUGAAUCCCUGGCCUAAUUUUCCAUCAUCGGCGAAUCUAUCCAUUAAAAACCGUCGUCAGAACCGACUGCUUGGAUCGGUGGAAUCUCAUAAUCGGCAACUUUGAGAAAAUCUUUCUCCCAAACUUCUCCUGAAAUGCACCUGGUCCUUUCGUAAGUAUCCGCUUCUGCCGAUGCGAUAACAUAAGAAGAAUCUCCUGGGACAAUCUCAAUCUUGUCACCUACCCACUGAACCAAGCACUGAUGCAUUGUAGAUGGGAUACAACAAUUGGCAUGAAUCCAAUCUCUCCCCAAUAAUAAGUUGUAAGCACCUUUUCCACUGAUCACGAAAAAAGUUGUCGGCAAGGUUUUGCUGCCGAUGGUCAACUCUGCACAUACUGCCCCCUUGACUGGAGACACGUUUCCUUCAAAGUCUUUGAGCAUCAUAUCGGUCUUGGUCAAAUCUUGAUCCCCUUUCCCAAGCUUCCGAUAUACUGCAUACGGCAUAAUAUUAAUAGCAGCUCCACCAUCAACUAGGAUCUUGGUCAUUGGCUGCCCAUCAACCCUUCCUUUGAGGAACAGAGCUUUAAGAUGCUGCCUCUCGUCAUCGGCAGGUUUCUUAAAGAUAGCCGUCAUCGGAUCCAGAGCCAACUGAGCUAUCUGAUCAGAAAAUUCUAACUCAUCAUCACUGGCUGGUGCAAGAAACUCCACCGGCAACAUGAAGACCAUGUUGACGCCUGCCGAUGGACCUUCCCUCUUAGUGUCUGACGGCUGCCGACUUCCAGAGUUCUCUCCCUUGUUUAGCUCUUCUUGCCUUUCACGUUGCAAUCUCCUUUUCUGUGUCUUGGUUAAUCCUCCAGGGCACCAUGGAGGAAGUGGCCUUUGCCUUGCCGUCGGGCGUCGGUUCUCCCUUGACUCCAUACGAUGCGUGUUAGCAUCCCUGCAAAAUAUGAAUUCAUCGGGAACCCGCGCAUCAGCCAUUCCCUCGAGCUCUUCUUGGUUCCUGGGAAAAUACUGGACACGGUCACUAAGUCUGUUGUGCCCACCAAAUCUGCCCCCCAGCCGGUCAUGAACUGACACCCUUCCUCUGAUCGGCCCAUUGAAUCGCCGUUCAUCAUUAUGAUAAUGCCGAUCGAUCCUAUCGUACCGAUCAUAACCGUUGCACUCAGGGCAGUCUCUGAUAGUAGGAAGCUUGAUAUUUUCCUCCCAACAAUGGAUGAAGAAUGGACAAUUCCAAUGAUCCCUGUGCCGAUUCCACUCCUGUCGGCGUCUUUCUUCUUCCCGUCGAUAAUCUUCCUGCUGGCGUCGAUACCGAUCUUCCCGUUGUUGCCAUUUUUCUCGAGGCCUUCUAUGAGUUAUGACGAUACCAGAUCGAGGAAGCCUUCCUGAGCUAGUUCCUUCCUGGACCAAGCCCUUACUUCUUGCAUCAGCAGUAGUAACUUGAUGCUGAGGAUCUACCGAUGCACUCUUCUCAGCUGUCUCCGAUGUUAAGACCUUAGCCUUCCCCUUAGCAUCCAACAUGUUUGUCGGGAAAGGAUGUUGGUCUAUCUUCAUCGGCUUCUGGGCUUUGGAACUGUCAAACUUGAUUCUCCCUGACUCUAUAGCCGAUUGCAGCUGCUGUCUGAAUACUUUGCACUCGUUGGUGUCAUGGGAAGUUGCAUUAUGCCACUUGCAAUAUCUCAUCCUCUUCAACUCUUCUGCCGAUGGGAUCACAUGGUUAGGUGACAGUUUGAUCUGACCUUCCUGAAGUAGAAAGUCAAAUAUCCUAUCAGCCUUAGCGGUGUCAAAGGCAAACUUCUCUGGUUCCUUCUGCCCAAAAGGACAAGACAUCGGCUUCUUGUUUUUUACCCACUCUGCCAAACCGAUUACUGGUUCUUCAUCAGAAUCUGAGCUUGUUGCUUCAUCAACAAAUGACACUUUCUUAUUCCAUGCUCUCUUAGGCUCGAAAGGCUUGAUGUCUUGAUCAGAAAUCCUCUGCACCAAAUGACUUAAACUUUCGAACUCCUGAGAGGCAUACUUAUCCCUGAUAUGUGGCAACAAACCCUGGAAAGCCAAAUCGGCUAACUGCCGAUCAUCCAGAACCAGGCUAUAGCAUUUAUUCUUGACCUCUCGUAUCCUCUACACAAAUCCCUCAACCGACUCAUCAUUACGUUGCCUCAAUUUGACCAAGUCGGUGAUCUUCUUCUCAUGAACCCCCGAGAAGAAGUAUUUGUGGAAUUGCUUCUCUAGAUCGGCCCAAGUAAUUACUGAGUUGGGAGGUAAUGAUAUGAACCAAGUAAAGGCCGAUCCAGACAAUGAUGAUGAAAAUAGACGAACCCUCAAUUCGUCCCUGUUACCAGCCUCUCCACAUUGAAUAAUGAACCUGUUGACAUGCUCCAUGGUUGACGUGUCGUCCUGUCCGGAAAACUUUGUAAAAUCCGGUACCUUGUACCGAUGUGGAAGCGGGAUCAAAUCAUACGCGGGAGGAUACGGUGUCCGAUAAGAAUAAGUGUUGACUUUGGGUUUUAUCCCAAAUUGUUCCCUCAUUACUUCAGCAAUCUUAUCGGCCCAAUACGCAUCGGCAUCUUGCCGAUGAGGUGGCUGCGGAUCUGGCACUUGGUGGUGAACCUCCAUGUGUCUGUUCGGGACGUGAUCUGCACGGAACAUUGUAUUGAUCACCUGUCCUCCAAUCUGCGGACCACCAAACUGCUGUCCACCGAUUGGCUGUCCUCUGAGUUGUUGUCCAAAAUUCAUUGGCUGGUUGGGAAUCCCCUGACCUUGGAACCCGGGAUAGACCUGCCCUUGCUGGAACCCUGUAGUCUGGUAACUCUGCUGGGGCGAUUGUGGAAAGGCUUGCUGUCCAAGCCAUCCAUUAUUAGCGUUCAUCGGCAUAGGUGCUGCCGAUGAUUGGUAAUUGGGUACCGUCAUUGAAUUGACAUACCCAGACUGGGCCAUAGGCCUCUGCGGCACCAGCAUUGACUCUGCCGAUGCGUUGGGCAUCUGGAACAUUGAAUCUUGAGGAUUUCCAGUGUGAGGCCUUGCAGUAGUAGUUGUGGUAUACCGAGGACUCUGGUUCACCGGCGCAUUGGGAGGUGCCGAUGUCAUAGGAGUUUUGCCCCUCAUGUCAGUUAUUUGUGAUGUUCCCGGCGUCAACUCUGGAGGCAUACCAUAACCCCACCAGUUGGGAGGAAGAGUCAACCCUGACAUUGCCGAUGCCAACAUAUCUGUUGUCAGUCUAUGCUGCCCAACUGAAAUUUGUGGGUUGGUUGCCAUCGGCAUAGAUAGUGCACCAGUAGUCCCCAAUGUACUUGGAGGGACGGCAGACUGUGCACUUGCAUUCGUCAAGGCAGCCGAUGGAGCCGUGACCUCUGGUGCCGUUGGCUGAUGAUGGGAGGGGCCCACAUAAUCUGGUGGGAUUUGUCCUUCCUUGAAAGUUCUUGCCACGGCAUUGAAAACCGUAUUGGACAAUACACCAGCUUGGUUAAUCAACGCUCGAUUGAUGGCAUUGUCAACCAUAUCUUGAAGCUUGCCAGGAUUGGCGUCAAAGGUAACCUGCCGUGGUGCCGGCAGUGCAUCUUUCUGGACCACUUCACCACUCCUGUUUAUGCUGAAAGACCUCAGGCAUUGCUGCUUGAACUCUUCCAUGGCUUGGGCAAUAGCUUGCUUCUGCUCAUCCUUGAGGUUGGCCUCCGUCACGGGGAUGACAUUCUCUUGAUCGAGGUCAGAGAUCGACAUGUUGAUCUUGAUCUUGAAUCGGUCCCACCGAGCGUGCCAAAAGAUGUGUUGAUGCAAAACUGAUCUGCAAACACAAAGGGCUAAUACCCGAUUCAAACGUUAAGGCGUGCCAGCCGAUUUGACCUUACUAUCGGCAAAGGUGAUAACUCGAAUACUUUAGUCCUGACAACAGCGAUGCGCCCGGAUGUCACGGCUAAGAGGUACUCACGCGGAACUCGAGAACACGCCGAGCUUAAGUCGACGAAUUCCUAAGAACUCGUAAUAAAAAGAAAAAAAAGUAUGACGAAGUCGUCGAAAAGUAGAUGCUGGAAUAUGAGUAAAAACGUGUGUUUGAUUGAUUUCUUGAUUUGAUUACAAGGCCCUAGGGUCUAUAUUUAUACCCUGCUCAAAGAGCUACAACCAGACACGAUUAGAAUUCGAAUUCCAAAUUAUACGGAAUCCGUAUACAAAACGAUGCAAAUAAUUAAGGAAAUAACAAAACUAUCCCUCGUGACAAACCAAAACUCCUCCACAUAACGACCGGCAGCUUCCAGACUCCUCCUUUGCAUCAUCGGCAGAUCCUUUGCCAUAGUCAUCGGCAGACUUUCUUAUCUAGCCAUCGGCACCAUAUUACUGCCUGUCACAUUCAACUUCUCCCUCAUCGGCAACCAUCCUCAUCGGCAACCCGCAUCGUACUGCCACCUUAUCCUGCCAUCCUAGACACGUGUCCAAAAACGGUGUCAACAAUAAGAUAACUCACUUGGAAGAUAGACCAAGCUACCCAUUUGUGCCCCCUAGUUUACUCUUCUUAAGGGGGGUAGCCAAGCUAACGAAGUCACAAGAUGAAUGUUUCAUACGUUCUAGCACUUCACUUGGAAGUGUCGAUCAUUCCUAUGGCUGAGAAGUCACUAUCAAGUAUCCUUGCUAAGAAGUUCUUAACAUGUUGGUUCCAUCUACAAGGAUAUUGUAUAUUCAUCAAGAUUUAAUCUUAAUUCGAUCUAUCAUCAAAUGGGAGAGUCCAAUCUUUAGCAUACCAAAGGCGAGAUGACAUUGACGACAUAGGAAGUGGAUAUGGUACAGCUAUUGUUGAUUCUACGGAGACUCAAAAGACUUCAUUGUUAAACAAAGCAUGGCAAGUAAGUUUUGGUUGAUGGAAGUUCUCACCUAGGAGGCUAGGAGGUGUCAUCCUUAUGGUGAACACGAGAAAGUCAAGGCUGCAUUGGGUUUGGAACCCACCAAAAGGAAGUGAAUAAGACGUAGAGUUCCAUGGGAAUGACAAGAAGCUAUCAUAGGUUUAUUGGAGGCAUUGUAAUCUUGACAUAAGAGUGACUAAGAGAUUGAUUUGGAAUAAUAAGAUUAUAAGUGGUUUAUCAAAGGUGUUAUACAGAUCGAUGUAAGAGUUCUUAUAUAUCCCAUCAAGACUUUGGAUGUGCUCUAUACGAGAAAAGUAGUGGCUUAUGCAUAAGUUGACUAAGUGAGUUGGACCACCUAACACAUGAUGUGGAGGUAUCCAUAGUGGAGCAUGGAGAUACUAUCUUCUUGGAUAUAAGAGUGAUAUCUACGUAGAAUGUAAGAGACUAAAGGGCAUCUUUAGGAAGUUGGAUUUGAGCUAGUCACAUCAUUGAUGGAUUUGAGUGAAUCAAGAGUUAUGGCUGGAAAAAAAUGCUAUCACUUGAAGGAGAAAAGGCCUUUGCGAAUGCUCAGAGCAUAAAGAGUGUGCUAGAGGAGUUCAAAUGACACUGAAAUUUGAAGGGUUGAGUGUUGAACUGGGUGAUGUCACUAGUACUGUCAAAGGAGCUCUACUAAUUACUCAUUUGGGAACCAUAGGAACUGAAAAGAUUACUUAGAAGAUAUGUUGUGAGCUUGUGCAUUAUAGUAUCGUACAAGUUGGGAUAAGAGUUUACCGAAUGCGGAGUUUUCUUAGGACAAUAGAUUAUUAUAAGAGCCUUCGAAUGGUAUGUCUUUAAGCUUUGUAUGGACGGAAGUGUAGAACCCCAUUGUUUUGAAAUCAAAUAGGUAAAACACAAGUGUUUGGGCCAGAUGUUCUAAGAGAUGCAGAACAACAAGUGAGAGUGUUCAGGGAUAACUUAAGGGUGGCACAGUCUCAACAGAAGAGAUAUGCUAACAACCGGAGAAAAGAAUAAGCUUUUGAAGUAGAAGACUAUAUGUAUUUGAAGGUGUCACCUAUGAGAAGUGUGAGAAGAUUUAAUAUGAAGGAAUGGUUAGCACCAAGGUAUAUCGGGCCUUUCAAAGUGUUAGAAAGAUGGGGUGAAGUGGCUAAUUAGAGCAUCUGAAAGUUUGGGCGAGGAAUGCAUGAUGUUUUCCUUGUGUCUUAACUCAAGAAGUGUUUGCGUGUGCCAUAGGAGCAGAACCCAUUAGAGGAAUUGGCUGUUAAAGAGGAUCCCACAUACAAAGAGUACCUAGUAAGAAUUUUGGAAACAACAGAAAAGGUUACCAGAAGUUGCAUUAUCAGGAUGUGCAAAGUUCAGUGGAACCGGUACACCGUAGAGGAGGCUAUUUGGAAAAGAGAAGAAUAUUCAAUGUUAAGAGUAUCCACAUUUUUUUGGUAACCAUCUUCCGAAUCUCGAGGACGAGAUUCAUCUUAAGGGGCGUAGAAUUGUAACACCCUAAAUUUUGCUUCUUUGAAAAUAGAGAUAAAAUAAUUUAUUUUGUAUUUUUGUGCUCAUAAAAAUAUAGUAAAAUGAAAUUUUUCCUUAAAUUAAAAUUCAUCAUAGGGUUUAGCAACGUUGUUGUGCAUACAUGCCGGUACAUAUGUUUUAUGUGAUGUUUGUUUGUUGCUCCUUUGUGUGUUGAGACUAAGCAAAGUUUUUAAAAUUGCGUUAAGUAGAACGAUCUUCCUUGGUCAGUACAUCUUUACCUUUAUCUACAACCAAAUCCCUUGUUUCUAAGCUCAAGUUUUUAUUACGAGCUUUCUAAAAUCUUUUCUUUAUCACCUAAAUCCCUUCUUUUAGUUUCUCAUUCAUCAAGCAGUCUCUACAACGUGAUCGCCCUCAGUCCGGUGUCGAUCCGUCCGUCGCCCUGCUUUCCAUCUCCGCUUCGUACCUAUCUGCGAAAUCUCUAUUGGUGAGUUUGUUUUCCCCGCAUCAAAUCGUGGCCGUAGGCUUAAGUUUCAUGCUCGCCGGCUAGGAGCUCGCUGCUGCCAAUGGCUGGCUUCCAGGCGUGUGCUCUGCUCCAAUUAGUUUACCUUGGUUUCUAAAUCAAAAUACGUUUUUAGUAAUUACAAAAUUGCCACCAGAUUUGUUUAGCUCAUAAAAUCUUCAUUUUAACUCCGAUUUGAUCCAUUCAAAUUGCGUUAGAUUCGUAAUCACAAGAUCUACAUCUUAGUCUCACUGUUUUACAAGUUUACAACUUUUUAUUUUCGUGAACCUAUUUAAUUAAUUAUUUUAUUAAAGGAAAUCUUAGAAAAUUCAUAUCUUUUUUGUUAUAUCUCCGAUUUUCGUGAUCUUUAUGUCUAUGUGAUCGUAGUGCAACGUAGAUUCAUUUUAUAAAAUUUUCAUCUUUAUUUUCUACUGUUGGUGUAUUGUUCUAAUUAUAGGUUUGUUUGCUUUGUAUGAUUGCCUCUGGAUGAUUGUUGUUGAUGUGGUGACUGAGUUUAGACGGUGAGCUUUUACGUGGUGAUCAAGAAGCAGUUUAUGGAAGGUUUGGAACUAAAAGAAGGAUCUGAGUUUUAAGGCAAGUAUAGCAUGGGAUCAUCCUCCAAUUCAUAUUGCAUGUGUCUCUUUGCUAAGGAUUUCCUAGUAUUGAUCUUAUACCUUGUCACCUAUGGUUUUGCAUUGGGUAGCUUAUGCUAGUGCUCUACUAAACCAUGACAUUGUAAUUUGAUUAAUGGAAUAUGCAAUAAACAUUAAAAGAGGACUUUUUAGCAACUUUGGUAAAGAGGGCUGGAAUAUUGGGCUAUCUUAUGGUGCUCUAGUUUCUCUCCAUAAGGACUUAUCUGUAUCUGACCAUCCGGGACAUACAGUACAACUGUGAGGGCUAGAUGGCUCUGGCUUUAGCUCAGUAUGAGGACCUUUUCUAGCUUGUUAGUGGUUACCCAUGUGGCGCAAAUGGGGAAUAGCAGACCGUGGAUUCCUGCGGGUGAAUCACAUGGACUGACUAAUGAAACCAAGCGGCCCUAACUUGUUAGACGAACCUUUGAAAGGCUUCAUAGUGAACCCUGCCGGCCUCCCUAGGAAGGGGGUUAGGAGAUUAGCUACCUCGGGCGAAAGGGUAAAUCACGACUCACAGUGAAAGUGUACAACCUCUGCAGAGUGUAAAACUGAUAUAUCAGCCGUGCUCACGGUCACUAGCGGCCUUGGACCAAUACAGAAUAAAUGAUCACUAAUGGCAAAUUAUUAAAGUUAUUGUUGUUAAUAUGUUGUUUAUGCUAUUCUUUAUUCAUUUUACCUGAUCAUGAGUUUACUAUAGGACUUGACAACUUGAUGCUACUCAUAUGCUAAAAUUGUGACAACUAAAAGCUACAUGCAGUUCAACCAGUGUCUAGCCUUUGAGCCUCAUGAACCCUAUGCUAUUCUUGCUGAGUACGAGAUGUACUUACGCUUGCCUUUACAUUUUAUUUGGAUAAAAAUCCCGGAUGGGUACCAGAUUGCUAGUUUGGAGAAGAGUUUAGGCUUGUGCUCAACCAGUCAGUUGUCUCUGUGGAUUUGGAGCUUUCGCCUGAAGAACGGAGUGUCUUUCCGCUGUUUGCUAUCUAAGGUUAUUUCUUUUAUACUAAGUUCGUUAUAUAUAAGCAUUGUUUAUUGAUAUUACCCCUAUUUGUGGCUAUAUGUGAGAUUUGACUUCCUGGGCUCACAUAUGGUGUGUAUCUGGUUUUGUCCUUAAAACCGGGUGCUACACCCAUUUUCGUCGGAUUUCCAGAGUCGCACAACCGUCAAGUCUCAAGCCCUGGUCGACUUCAUCAUAGAAUGGACGGAUCUCAAUGCACCACCCUCUCCAGAUGUCUUCGAUCACUGGUCAAUGUUCUUCGAUGGGUCCUUAAACAUCAAUGGCGCUGGUGCCAGAAUCCUUUUCAUUUCACCAAACAAGGACAAACUACGCUACGUCCUUAGGAUCCUCUUCCCGACAUCCAAAAAUGUCACCAAGUACGAAGCAUGCCUGCACGGCAUCCGAUUGGUCGUCGAACUAGGAGUCAAGCGCCUUUAUGUCUACGGUGACUCUGCUCUAGUCAUCAACCUGUUAAAUAAGGAGUGGGACAUGACCCAUGAGAAAAUGGACCUGUACUGCAAAGAAAUCCGAAGGUGGGAAUCAAAAUUUUAUGGCAUAGAAUACAUCCACGUGGUCCGGGACAAGAAUCAAGCAGCAGAUGCGCUGUCAAAGGUAGGAUCAUCCUAGGCCCAGAUUCCGCAAGGUGUUUUUGUUCAGGACAUUCACACACCAAGCGUUGGAAGACCUGGUCGACAAGCCACCCAACGAGAUGCUGCUCGUAGGAAACACCGCUCCGACAACAAAUGGCAAUGACUGGCGCGCUCCUUUCGUUAAGUACCUCUCGGACGGUUCGGGAUUUCAAGACAAAACGGAGAACGAACGUCUUAUCCGACGAGCCAAAAACUAUAUACUGGUCGACGGUAAACUUAUGCACAAGAAUGCAAGCUCAGAAGUCUUGUUGAAAUGCAUAACUCAAGACGAUGACAUCAAGCUACUAGAUGACAUACACGCUGGGUCCUAUGGCAAUCACGCUGCUUCUAGAACACUGGUCGGAAAGGCUUUCCGAGCAGGUUUUUACUGGCCAACCGCAGUCGCCGAUGCUGAGAAGCUGGUCCGGCAUUGAGAAGGGUGCCAGUUCUUCGCCAAAAGGAUCCACAUACCUGCUCAUGAGAUCCAGACCAUUCCGUCGUCUUGGCCGUUCGCCUGUUGGGGCCUCGACAUGAUUGAGCUAUUCAAACAAACCCCCGGUAAUUUCAAAUUCGUUUUCGUGCUAAUUGAUAAGUUCUCCAAGUGGAUCGAGUACAUGCCACUGGUCAAAGCAACUUCCGAGAAGGCGGUAGAAUUCCUCAAUCAAAUCAUACACAGAUUCGGGAUUCCCAAUAGCAUAAUCACUGACCUGGGUACUCAGUUCACCAGCACUACAUUCUGGGACUUCUGUGAUGACAGAGGCAUAGUCAUAAAAUACGUGUCGAUAGCCCAUCCUCGGGCCAAUGGUCAAGUUGAGCGAGCCAAUGGAAUGAUUAUCGAUGCACUAAAAAAGAGGAUGUACACGGAAAUCGACAGGGCGCCGGGGCGAUGGAUGAAAGAAUUACUGGCAGUGGUCUGGGGUCUCCGAACACAACCCAGUCGGAACACGGAUGUAUCCCCCUAUUUCAUGGUUUAUGGGGCUGAGGCAGUACUCCCCUCCGACGUAGCCUUCGGAUCCCCAAGAGUCGAGCAUUUCGAUCAGUCUUCAGUAGACCACGUCAGGGAACUUGAAAUCAACUGCGCAGAAGAGAGACGUUUGGUUUCUUGCCUUCGAACAACAAAGUAUCUCGAGGCCAUAAGAUGAUACCACAACAAGAACGUCAAAGAUUGCUCCUUCGUGGUCGGUGAUCUGGUACUCAAAUGGAAAACAAGCCAGGAGGGAAUGCACAAGUUAUCUACACCCUGGGAGGGACCUUUUGUGGUCGCCGAAGUUACACGUGCUACAUCUUAUAGGCUGGCGUACCUAGAUGGAACAAGCCUGCCCAACUCCUGGCACAUAGACAAAUUACGAUGUUUCUACCCCUAAGUUUCAGUAUAUCUUACUUGUACCUCUUUUUUGAUGAAUAAUAAUAAAGUUUGUCUUUUUUGGUAUAUAUUUUUACAUAUGCAGAAUACUCGACAAGUGCGACAAUAACUUUCCUUGACAAGCUACUCAAGGGUACUCAACAUGAUUCAGUGAUACAUCACUCAAGCAAAUUUAUUUACAGCGCUCAAAACCAUGGUUCUUAAAUUUCAAACUUUAUUACAAACUUUACAAACAAAGUUUACAGUAAACACCCCUCUGGGCGGUCUCUAGUCUAUCUCUACAGACUACUCUACGAACCUACUGCUCGGGUUGCUCGCCCGCACGGGUCUCUUGCGCCGUCGAAGGGGUCGGGGCCACCGGCGCCUGGCUGGUCGAGACUGCAGGCGUCGACCGCCCAUCUCCCGCAAUCGAUGCUCCCAACAACUCCCUAGCCGACUUAUCUGACCCUGGCUGUUCAGGGGGAGUGGAUGUCCCACAAAGGUUUAUGUCGCCGAUCAUAGUCGACGACAGGUCGAGUAGGCCGACGCGAAGGUCAUCCGCCUCCUUCGGACCGACCUCCUUGGGAUACCCCCUUUCCAGCCGGGACAGGUCGACCAGGGGAUAGUGGGUGUUGACGGUCCUUAAGUAUCAAAUUUAAUUAUCAAAUAAACAAAGAAAAGGGUCCAAAUGAAAUCAACAUCUAGACUUAGGGUUUUAUCUGACAGAAUUCCAUGAGUUUUGGUGUUUGUCUAUUUCUACAGGGGGUUAUCAGGAAAUACGGAAGAAAGGCCCACACGUCGGGAUUACAUAGAGAUAUUAACGUACCGCGCAAUUAUCUUACAUCUAGAAGACUCCAGAAGCCACGAGACCGAAGCGGAGACGAAACGGGGCCAGAGGCAGGGCGCCCGCCCUGUUCCCCUGGGCGCCCGCCCCCUCCCUGAGUCCAAUCAGGACUCUGCUUCGUGGGAGAUCUCCACCGACCUAAAGGAUGAAUCUAAACCAUACAAUCUAUGUCGGUUUGAUCCAACGGCCCAUAUUAACUUGAAGGGAUUAUAAAACCAGACCCCCUGGCCCCUAGAGGAGAGAGCCUCUCAACCCUAAUUCAUUAUUUCUCAAGGGAGAAGAAGCCUCUGAUCAAGAUUAGAGCCACCACAUCAAUUAGAUAUCUAGAUUAGCAUAGCUACAUAGGAUUAGAACUAGAAGGAGUCAAUCUUCGAUUGGUUUCCGGAUCUGUCAAGAGGAUUCUUGGUAAUUCUCUAAUUGUGCUUCUAAUUGUUCUUCUAAUUAUCUUUGUUCUUCAAUAUUAUGAAUAUGACUUUGUUCUACUUCAAUAUAUUGCUUAUGACUUGGCUCUACUUGCUUAUAUUCAAGAUUAUAUUGUUCUUAGUUUAUCAUAGUUAUGUACUUGGCUUAGUUAGAUUGGAUCUAUAUACAUGCUUAGGAUCGUAUAGCGUUUAUCCAUCGGAUCCAUGGGUAAAUGAUAGAUAUUGUGUAGGCGUGGUGCUUAUACCGUAUUUAUCUGCGAUUGUACCCAAUAUGCCAGAUCGUGGGGUAGUUCGUGAUAGUGACAGCUUCAUUGAUUCUUAUAUAGUCCCCCUCUCGUGUAUUGGGCUGGCAGAGCAACAUUAUUACACGGGAGUGAUUGCUAUGUUUCUCAUUUACCUUGCUAAUAUCACUAUGCAUGGGCGUAGUCUUGUCUCACAAUGAUUGCUAGGUAUGCUUGCACUAACUAUGAUAAUGCUAGACUAUAUAGUUUAGAAUAACUUAGGGAAUAUUCUUGUAGUUCGUUCUAAUUCCAUGCUAAUGACUUUCUAGAGUAUCUAAUUGAGGUGCUUAUCAUAUUUAUUAUGUGGCUAGAUCAGAUUAAUUAUCCUUGUCACUAUUUAUUAUUUCAUAUAUCCUUUAUGUGACACUUAUCCCUGUAUGAAGAGUUAGAUAAAUGUUCUCAAUUAUACAUGCAAUGAUAGAUACUCAAUCUCAUAUUCUAUUCUGUAAUCAAUGUUGAUGAUUGCUAAUCCCUUCCUAGUGGUAAAAAUAUAAAUAACGAUACCUGGAAUACUUCCCGGUUAAAAUGCUGCAUCGGUAUUAAUCUGUGCGCUUGCAGAUCCCAUUCAUUAUUUAUUUAGAAGAGCAAUUGCAUAUUUCAAUACCGCGUCUCUCAUGUCAUGCUGGGGAUGACAACUUGGCCUAAGUGGUGUGAGGGAUAGGUUUGGAAUUUUUGGCACCGUUACUAGAUUUAGAGAACUUAGUCUACUUUUGGUAAUGAUGUUAAGAAUACCCAACAGUGGGCACGAACCAUGCUAAGGACAUGCGCCCCAGCAAACUCCCUGACAUCCUUGACAAACUGCUGAAGCCAGCCCCACGCCUGCUGCGCCUUCUCGACUGGGGUCAGCCUCGGUGCGUGGGGCUGGUCCUCGAGAAGCUCGGGGCCGAUCAGAUCCAGCACCAGAGCAACUCCUUUCCAGAGCUUUAUGCAAUUCGUCUUCCAGGAGUCCCAGUCUUUGACCAGGUCCUCGACGUGCUUCUUGGCGUUGGUCUUGAGCACUAUGACCAAUUUCAAGAAAAAAGAAAGCAAACAGUCAGCAACAUGCUAUGGCAAUAUAUAUAAAAAAACUUCGUGGUCGAAAAGGACAAAAUAGAUCCUACUAGCCAGCUCCCGAUUCUUGGUCUUCAGCUCCUCACCAACCUUGCGCUCGCUUUCCAGCGCACGGGCGCGCUCCUGGUCGAGUUGGUCUCUCUCCUUUUGGAGACGCUCGAUCUCCUCCUCCAGACCUGAAGUAAUAAUUGUUCGUCAUCAAAACCGACCAUGUGGUUAACUGCAACUACUCAGAUCACUUGACUUACCCCUCUUCUCACAGUCCUUAUCGGCUAGUCGCCGAGUCAGGUCCAGCAGAUGCUCUUCCUGAGCCGCCUUCUCGGCCACCUCCCUUUCGGCCUCUAGCCGAAGGCGGUCCACCUCCGCGGUCAGGGCCUUGUUCUCGGCGACCACGCCCUCAAUUUGGUCGAAGCACCUUUUUCGGUACUUCACCGUUUUCAUUGCGUCCUGCGGAAAUCGAACAUACCACAUAGUGAACAAAUCAUGGUAUAUAUAUACUCAAGCAAAGUAUAAGACCACUCACCUUAACUUCAUUAACAAGCCGCUUGGUAGUGCGCUCCACCCUCUCCGCCUCUUCGGUCUCAGCGAUCUCAUAUUCUAUUCUGUAAUCAAUGUUGAUGAUUGCAAAUCCCUUCCCAGUGGUAAAAAUAUAAAUAACGAUACCUGGAAUACUUCCCGGUUAAAAUGCUGCAUCGGUAUUAAUAUGUGCGCUUGCAGAUCCCAUUCAUUAUUUAUUUAGAAGAGCAAUUGCAUAUUUCAAUACCGUGUCUCUCAUGUCAUGCUGGGGAUGACAACUUGGCUUAAGUGGUGUGAGGGAUAGGUUUGGCAUUUUUGGCACCGUUACUAGAUUUAGAGAACUUAGUCUACUUUUGGUAAUGAUGUUAAGAAUACCCAACAAGCAUUUUUGGCACCGUUGCCGGGGAAGGUUGAUUACUAAUCAAGAAUGGAAUAAAGGGUUUUGAGUUAUCAUUCGCAUCACUAAUAUGAUUGAGCUUAUCUAUUCUCUUAUACAGUUUUACCCCGAUAUUUUCUAUUUUAACUUAUGCAGGGGAAUGUAUGAAUAGAAGACAUCUUCCAGGAAAUUUUGUUGACAAUCCCGAAGUAUUAUUCAAGAAGACUAGAGCCAAACUCAAGAAGAGAUCAUCAACACUUCAGCAAGAAGCUUCAUCCAAUCAAGAAGAUUACCGGAACUUGUCUUCAGAGUUCGAAGCCAUGGCAAACAAAUCAAUCCGUGAGUUCUCAGCUCCCACUACGGACAACAUCCGCACUGGACCUGCUGCAGAGAUCGAUGGCAACUUUGAGCUCAAGCCUGGACUUAUCAACAUGGUGCAAUCCAACCAGUUCUGUGGGAAGGCACACGAAGAUGCUAGUGCUCAUCUACAACACUUCCUAGAGAUUUGUAACACAUUCACCAUAUCAGGAGUUUCCAAAGAUGCUAUACUACUUCGCCUCUUCCCAUUCUCUCUAUUAGGAAGAGCGAAGCAGUGGUUCUACGCUACAAAGGAGAAGAAUACUACGUGGGUACUCUACUCAACAAACUUCCUGGCUAAGUUCUUUCCCAUGGGCAAGACUAAUGCUCUCCGUGGGAAGAUUACAAGUUUUCAGCAACAAAAUGAUGAAUCUAUUCCAGAAGCAUGGGAGCGUUUUCAAGACUACAUCCUAGAAUGUCCCCAUCAUGGAAUGGAGAGUUGGCUAUUGAUGCAGACGUUCUAUCAUGGGCUCGGCAACAGUGCCCGAGAGACCAUGGAUGCUGCAGCUGGAGGAGCAUUCUUAUCACUUACUAUACCACAAGCCACAGCUCUUGUGGAGAAGAUGGCGUCCAAUCAAAGCUGGAAUGAAGAGAGGACCCAGACACGCAAGAGAGGUGGAGGUAUGCAUCAGCUCAAGGAGGUAGACAUGCUGUCUGCAAAGCUAGACCUGCUCAUGAAGAAGCUCGAUGAUAGAGCUGGAGAUAAGAAAGAAGUUAUGCACAUCUACGACUCUCACAUGACUUGUGAGGAGUGUGGAGACACUGGACACUCAGGCAAUCACUGCCCUGAGAUGCUUGAGGAUGUGAACUACAUCAACAACAACAACAACUACUACUACAACCGUCCUCAACAAAAUCAAGGUUGGAAUCAACAGAGGCCUAACUACUCAGGUAAUUAUCAAGGUAAUAAUUCUUACAACAAUACUAAUAAUUUUCCACCUUUGAGAGAAUUAGUGUCUAAUCAAGGAAAGCUAAUGGAUAACCUAUCUAAGAAAUUGGCAUCUAAUGAUAAAAUGCUAGAAAAUAUAAAUAAUAGAAUGGAUAAUUUCUCUACUGCCAUCAAGAAUCAAAUUAGCUUUAAUAAAAUGAUUGAAUCUUAGUUAAAUCAAAUAGCUGCUGCUGUUCCUGCUACUAACCCCGGUAUACCAUCACAACCGGAAGGAUUAGAAUCUGCAAAUCUUGUAGACAUGUUUGAUGCAGGUAAUAAUUGGAGUAACCCCGUCACUGAAUUCAAUACUGACCUUCUGCCGGUCAAGAGAGGUGAUCCAGGACGCCCCGUCAUCCCGAUCUCCAUCGGCAUGGUGGACGUCCUAGAAGCACUCUGUGACUUUGGCUCUAGCGUCAACAUUAUACCCAGGGUACUCUAUGAAAAAUUCUUUACAUAUCCUUUAUUAGAGACAACCAUGUGUUUGCAGUUUGCAGAUCAGACGAUAACUUUUCCAAAAGGAAUAUUGAGGAAUCUUUGUGUCUGAGUUGGUACCUUGUAUGCCCCAGCAGACUUCGUAGUGGUAGAGACCGGAAAUGAUGAGAGGGCACCCAUCAUCUUAGGGAGGCCAUUCUUAAACACCACGGGAGCUAUCAUCUACGCUAGUGCUGCCAAGAUCAGUUUCUACAUCAAAGGGAGGAAGGAGACAUUUUUCUUGAGGAACAAGACUACACAAAUCCCUGAUCAAUCCAGACGUGAAUCAAGUAAGAGGACCAACAGGAGGAACAGGAACAAGCAAGUAUGGACCGAGUCAGCUAAGAUGGUCACUGUAGUUCAUGGAGGCCAAGAUCACCAACUUAAGUCACCGUUUUUGACCAAGAAGGAUGACCCAGGAAUGCCAAGCAUCUACUGCUCCAUAAAUGGAUACAGCUUUUACAAGACAUUUUGCGACACCGGAUCGGGCAUCAACAUAAUGGCCGCAGUCACCUAUCAGCUCUUGUUCGGAACCAUGCCACUAAGACCAACAUACAUUCAGCUCCAGAUGGCAGAUUAGACUUUUCGAAAAGUUAAAGGAAUAGUAACUGAUGUCCCAGUUAAAAUAGACGAUCAUUUUAUCUACACAGACUUUCAAGUUAUUGACAUGGGAGAAGAUGAAUACGGUCCACCCAUCAUCCUUGGAAGACCGUUCCUCAGCACCGUUAAAGCAAUCAUCUACAUUGGAACCGGAGAAGUCCAUAUGCACUUCCCCUCAGAGAAGGUACGCCGUUAUUUUACUGACCCUAACUAUAUCGUUGAAAAAUCUAAGCAGGUGAGGAAACGACGCAACCGCAACCAGAGGAGGCAAAUCAUCAAGGACGGAUGGGCAGACUAUGAAGGAGAAGUUGUAAGGUCAGAAGACGUAGAGUUUAAAGAGAAUUAUCCAGAGGAGACUGAAGCACCGAGUCAAGUAUGGAAAGAGAAGAUAAUUAUACAUGAAGAGGAGGCGCUGCCGGAAGUACCGACUCCGCCACCCAACGAAUCCUAGGACAAUUGAAGAAAACGGAGAGUCCCGUUCGGAGGACUUAAAAACACCGAACGCCUUGCCAAGAGGUAAACUUGGUAGUUAUCCUUUCCCUUUCAAUUAUUUAAAAUAGUUUGCUUAGUUACUUAUGUUCAUGCUAUCAUAAAAAGAAAAUAAAAAUGUGAAAAACAGUAAGCCCCAUGUGAGUAGACGAGUGGCAUAAAACCCAUAAGUACAUUCACUGUGGUGGCAUAAAAAUAAAAUAAAUAUUUCAUUUCUGCUUUAUAAAAUGAAAAUAUAAAAACAGGGAGUAAUAUUUAUUGAGGAGUCUCAACAUGAUAAAGGCUAGAUAUUUAUGCUAACACUUAAUCAGUCAACAAGCUUUGUUGUCUAUUUGAGCUCCGCAGAAUUUAAGAAUCAAGAAGACUAGCAGACGGAGGACAUUCUAAUCACUGUCAGAAUGCUGCUGACUUUCAAAUACACCUCUGCCACCUGCUAGCUACAUCAAGAGAAAUUACGUCAAAAUCCAGCUUGGGGGAGAGCACCCCCAUUUAUACCGAUAAGUAUUUCUAUCUAUCUAUCUAUCUUUAUACUUAUACUAUAUUAAAAUAUAAAUAUACAUAAACCAGGAAAAACCAAAUAAAGAUUUUGUGCUUAUAUAUAUAUCUUUUGCUUAGUAUGUUUAAUAAAUAAAUAAAUAAAGUGGCUAUGCUAAUCUGUAUCUAAAUAAAACUCAAGCACGGAUAUGAUGAAUAGUUGCUCUGCCUAAUUUGUAAAUUUUAAGUUCUCUCUCAAGCUUAGACAUAAUUGUUAUAAUUUAAAGCUUGCUCUAGACCUAAACUUGUGGGAUGAAAACUUGAUCUGAAGUCUAAGUUGUUAACGGAUAUGAUAUGGGAAGGUUGAGCUGCUGUUUAUCUGUUCCUAGAGAUGCUAGAAUUCUGGAGAAUUUUAUCUUUGAAAAUCUUUAAAAUGUUGCAUGAUGAGUUCCUGUUUGAUGAGAGUUUAAAUUUCUACCACAGCCAUAUAUACAUGCUUGCUAGACUUUGAGCCACACAUUUACUAUUUACUGCUUAUGAGCAUUGAGUGUGGUCAAGCUGUGUAGACCCUUAGGAGCUUGUCAUGUGGUUAAAUCAAGAUUUCACUUGCACGUUCACUCAUAUAUGCUACUUCUACUCCGAAAGUACCAUCCACAUAUAUCCACCCAUUUCCAUCUCCAGAACCACCCAAAAAUAUUCUACUCCUAACCCGGGAGAGAAUAGCCAAAAAUAUUUCUGUUUUUCCUUUAUGAAAUAAAUGCUCAAGUUAUCUUGUUACUACCACUUGCUAUAUUAUCUCAAGAGAUGAGUGCUCUAAAAAAAAGAGAAAAAAAAGAUACGAGGAAAUAAAAAGGAGCAAGUGCUCGGAACCUCGAAAGAAAAGAAAAAGUGAGACGAGAGGUAAAAAUAGACAAGUGUCCGACAGUAGAAUUAGGGGUACAAGAUACCCACCUGAGAGGAAAGAAAAUGAAGAGCAUCUCAUUCUCCUCAUAAAAUUUCAAAAAAAAGCAAGGAAGGUAUGUAUCCCCUCAAAAGAGCAAAGUAGAAUUAGACUUUCACCAUUGUUAUCACCAUCAUCACCAUAUACCAUUCGCCACACAUGCACAUCUUGAUUGAACUUAUUGGCUUGUUUCUUUGGAUCCAUGGUUUGACUAUGCAAUACAUGUCUUGUGAGUAUGUAUAUUUUAUCUCCCACCUAUGAGCUCCAGAUAUUAAAGUCUUAUUAGAGUAGGGUGAGAGAGAAGGCAAUGUCACUAUGCUUUAUACCAUACUACAUAUCUUGAGAGAAGGCAUAUACCAUCACUGCCUUGGUAAGGAUCCAGAAAUACCACAAAAAAGAGAUAUGAGAGAAUCAUACAAGGAAUCUCUGAGUUUUAUUUGAAAAUCUGCAAAAACUCCAGAACUAUAGCUGAUCAAGAAUGAGAGACCUGGCACUUGGCUAGACUGUUCUAUCUUUUAACUACUCAAGACUGAAGUGACGGUUACAAGUCCCAUGGUGAAGGUAAAGUAAGUAAGUUUUAAGUCUUGACAGUUUACUCUAACUCAGAGAUGAGAUCUUAUUUUAAAAGCAUGUGUACCGUUAAUUUUUAAAGAUAUUGCAACAACUUCUAAUCCAUUGCUGAGUCUAUCCUUGCUCAGGGACGAGCAAGAGGUAAGCUUGGGGGCGUUUGUUGACGGUCCUUAAGUAUCAAAUUUAAUUAUCAAAUAAACAAAGAAAAGGAUCCAAAUGAAAUCAACAUCUAGACUUAGGGUUUUAUCUGACAGAAUUCCACGAGUUUUGGUGUUUGUCUAUUUCUACAGGGGGUUAUCAGGAAAUACGAAAGAAAGGCCCACACGUCGGGAUUACAUAGAGAUAUUAACGUACCGCGCAAUUAUCUUACGUCUAGAAGACUCCAGAAGCCACGAGACCGAAGCGGAGACGAAACGGGGCCAGAGGCAGGGCGCCCGCCCUGUUCCCCUGGGCGCCCGCCCCCUCCCUGAGUCCAAUCAGGACUCUGCUUUGUGGGAGAUCUCCACCGACCUAAAGGAUGAAUCUAAACCAUACAAUCUAUGUCGGUUUGAUCCAAUGACCCAUAUUCACUUGAAGGGACUAUAAAACCAGACCCCCUGACCCCUGGAGGAGAGAGCCUCUCAACCCUAAUUCAUUAUUCCUCAAGGGAGAGGAAGCCUCUGAUCAAGAUUAGAGCCACCACAUCAAUUAGAUAUCUAGAUUAGCAUAGCUAUAUAGGAUUAGAACUAGAAGGAGUCAAUCUUCGAUUGGUUUCUGGAUCUGUCAAGAGGAUUCUUGGUAAUUCUCUAAUUGUGCUUCUAAUUGUUCUUCUAAUUAUCUUUGUUCUUCAAUAUUAUGAAUAUGACUUUGUUCUACUUCAAUAUAUUGCUUAUGACUUUGCUCUACUUGCUUAUAUUCAAGAUUAUAUUGUUCUUAGUUUAUCAUAGUUAUGUACUUGGCUUAGUUAGAUUGGAUCUAUAUACAUGCUUAGGAUCGUAUAGCGUUUAUCCAUCGGAUCCAUGGGUAAAUGAUAGAUAUUGUGUAGGCGUGGUGCUUAUACCGUAUUUAUCUGCGAUUGUACCCAAUAUGCCAGAUCGUGGGGUAGUUCGUGAUAGUGACAGCUUCAUUGAUUCUUAUAUAGUCCCCCUCUCGUGUAUUGGGCUGGCAGAGCAACAUUAUUAUAAGGGAGUGAUUGCUAUGUUUCUCAUUUACCUUGCUAAUAUCACUAUGCAUGGGCGUAGUCUUGUCUCACAAUGAUUGCUAAGUAUGCUUGCACUAACUAUGAUAAUGCUAGACUAUAUAGUUGAGAAUAACUUAGGGAAUAUUCUUGUAGUUCAUUCUAAUUCUAUGCUAAUGACUUUCUAGAGUAUCUAAUUGAGGUGCUUAUCAUAUUUAUUAUGUGGCUAGAUCAGAUUAAUUAUCCUUGUCACUAUUUAUUAUUUCAUAUAUCCUUUAUGUGACACUUAUCCCUGUAUAAGAGUUAGAUAAAUGUUCUCAACUAUACAUGCAAUGAUAGAUACUCAAUCUCAUAUUCUGUUCCGUAAUCAAUGUUGAUGAUUGCUAAUCCCUUCCCAGUGUUAAAAAUAUAAAUAACGAUACCUGGAAUACUUCCCGGUUAAAAUGCUGCAUCGGUAUUAAUCUGUGCGCUUGCAGAUCCCAUUCAUUAUUUAUUUAGAAGAGCAAUUGCAUAUUUCAAUACCGCGUCUCUCAUGUCAUGCUAGGGAUGACAACUUGGCUUAAGUGGUGUGAGGGAUAGGUUUGGCAUUUUUGGCGCCGUUACUAGAUUUAGAGAACUUAGUCUACUUUUGGUAAUGAUGUUAAGAAUACCCAACAGUGGGCACGCACCAUGCUAAGGACAUGCGCCCCAGCAAACUCCCCGACAUCCUUGACAAACUGCUGAAGCCAGCCCCACGCCUGCUGCGCCUUCUCGACUGGGGUCAGCCUCGGUGCGUGGGGCUGGUCCUCGAGAAGCUCGGGGCUGAUCAGAUCCAGCACCAGAGCAACUCCUUUCCAGAGCUUUAUGCAAUUCGUCUUCCAGGAGUCCCGGUCUUUGAGCAGGUCCUCGACGUGCUUCUUGGCGUUGGUCUUGAGCAAUAUGACCAAUUUCAAGAAAAAAGAAAGCAAACAGUCAGCAACAUGCUAUGGCAAUAUAUAUAAAAAAACUUCGUGGUCGAAAAGGACAAAACAGAUCCUACUAGCCAGCUCCCGAUUCUUGGUCUUCAGCUCCUCACCAACCUUGCGCUCGCUUUCCAGCGCACGGGCGCGCUCCUGGUCGAGUUGGUCUCUCUCCUUUUGGAGACGCUCGAUCUCCUCCUCCAGACCUGAAGUAAUAAUUGUUCGUCAUCAAAACCGACCAUGUGGUUAAUUGCAACUACUCAGAUCACUUGACUUACCCCUCUUCUCAGAGUCCUUAUCGGCUAGUUGCCGAGUCAGGUCCAGCAGACGCUCUUCCUGAGCCGCCUUCUCGGCCACCUCCCUUUCGGCCUUUAGCCGAAGGUGGUCCACCUCCGUGGUCAGGGCCUUGUUCUCGGCGACCACGCCCUCAAUUUGGUCGAAGCACCUUUUUUGGUACUUCACCGUUUUCAUUGCGUCCUGCGGAAAUCGAACAUACCACAUAGUGAACAAAUUAUGGUAUAUAUAUACUCAAGCAAAGUAUAAGACCACUCACCUUAACUUCAUUAACAAGCCACUUGGCAGUGCGCUCCACCCUCUCCGCCUCUUCGGUCUCAGCGAUCUCCUCGUGGCCUUCCCAGUGGUCCCCACGCUGGCGCCAUACGUAAAUGUGUUGGCGUCCAUCGUGGGGACGCCCCUGGAUUUCCUCCACUUCAUCAUCGGAGGCCGCUCGAGCCUCCUCACCUUCUGUGCUGCCCCCAGCCACAGUAACAGGUAUCAUCGGGCCCUUACCGCGGCUAGGAGAGCCCUCAUGCGUGGGAGUCAUCGCUAGAGUCAGAGAUGGGGCCUUGCUUUCUUCAACCAGAGCAGGGGAUGGGACUUUGUGUCCCUCCUCUGCCACGCUGCUCGGGGGAGGAGUCCUCACGGUGGCAUCCUCCCUUGCUGGGGUGCUCGCUCCGGCUCUUCCGCGGAUAGGGUCCUCGUCGGCCACUUCCGUCAUACCUACAAUGGCGGGCUGCUCCACAGGUUGCUCUGUAGCAGUCUGUCCCGUGAGCCGUGCUCGGCGGCAACCGGCUCGGUCGUUCUCGAGCUCAAAACAUUGCUAGGAUCAACAUCUGAGGCAGUACUACAAGAAAAAUCGAAUCCAGAGUUACCACACUGAAAUUUGAACCUACAAAAAACUGAACCUUUAUAGAUAAAAUUACAGAUCAGAGCUUCUGUGCGCCGUGGUAAAGACCCUUCCCAUGGACCGCCUAGUCGUCGCCGCUGCUUCUGUUGGUCCAGGUCAUGCCUGCUCGACAUGCGCGGCAGGCGGGUCCUCAGCGACCCGACCAGCGUCGCUUGGUGUGACGUCAGGGCAACUGCGUGGUCUGCAGACUAAGGUUGAGGCCUCCUCCUCCUCCUCCUCCUCCUCCUCGUCGAUGAUUCUAACCAGCCGGUAGCGCUUGGGCGCCCGGGUGUCCGUAGUCGACCCCUGGCCCAUCAAAGGACCUGUGGCUGUCCCCAUGGAUGCCGCUUCUGCUGAAGAUGGCUGCACAGCCAUUGGCCUCUUACCGGCCACCCUGUCGUCUGUGGUCGGCGCCGGCCGGUCGUCUCCCUCGUCGCUACUGGUGUAUCAGUCACACCGAGCAGUGUCGUCUGCUGGGGGAUCCACUCCGGCCAGGUGAUCCAUACCGGGUGCUAGCGAUACAUACACCGUGUACCGAUCAAUAUCUCCUAUCUGCGACACAAAGGCGACAAGUCAUUAGCCAAAGAGUACAGUAUUCAACAGCAUUACAUAUUAACCAAGGUCUUCAUUUACCUUAGGAGCUGGUCGGCCUAGUUUGAAGGCAUGCAUCCAAUCAUCGCUUCGUACGAAGCUAUUAUCAGCUAAUUUGAAUAACUCAUUGAUCCUCUGCUGGAUCUCUGAUUUUUCCAAGUUGUCCCGAUGCAUCCUGGUCGGGUCUUGACUUCCUGCGUACUCAUACGCCGAGUGCACCCUCCUCUGGCAAGGCAUCACUCUUCGAGUGAGGAAAUUCCCGACCACCCCUGGUCCAUCCAGGCGGGACCAGUCGAUCAGACUCAUCAACUCUAACACCUGACCAGUGUACUCUGGCCGAUCUGUCUAGCUGACCCUCUUCUCGGGAAUGUAGCCGACGUCACAGAAUGUGGCGCUGCCCGGCUCCUCCCUGAUGUAGAAUCACAUCUUAUACCACUUGGUGAGGGAGGUGUUCCAUGGGUAGCUGAGGUAACGGUUCUUCAUCCUGUCGCGAAGAUUGAGGUAUACUCCACCUGCAAUCUUGGAGCCUCCAACCGCUCCCUUCUUCCUCAAGCAGAACAGGUAGUGGAAGAGAUCAAAGUGCGGCUCUAUCCCAUCAUAGGCCUCGCACAAAUGAAUGAAGGUGGAGCCAAGGAGAAUGGAGUUCAGGUGCAGGUUGCAGAUCCCGAUCUCAUAGUAAAGAAGUAGACCUUGAAGGAAAGGAUGCACUAGAACCCCAAAUCCCCUCUUGAAAAAAUCUUCAAAAACCACAAUCUCACCAGCACGGGGAUCAGGGUAGCUUUCUCCUUCCGGUGCUCUCCAGCCGCCGAGCUCCUAGUUAUGCAGAAGCCCCAUCUCAACGAGGUCGUUGAGGGACCUCGUGUUGCUCUGAGAUUUCUUCCAUUCCUUGGCCAUCAUCUCGGCCCUCUUCUUUGAGUCGCUCUUCGCCAUCUCUUCUUUACGGAAAUUUUUGAACUUGGACUUAAGGGAUUGAGGGUGCUGAGGAAGACGAAGGCAGGAUGCUAGUAUGUGACUGCUGGGUAGAGAAGAAGGGCGCAACCUUGGGUUCUUUUAUAACAACAGCUCCACCUCCCAAGGAGAACGACGCCGAGGGAGAAGGCUUCCCCAAGGUCAAGAACUGCCUAUUGAUCUUCAAGGGGCGCGCGGCUCGCCUCACCGCGAGUCAAAGAAAGCGCGAGCUCUGAGAGGUCUACACGGUUAGCACAGCCAUGCCCUCAUACCUUAAAUGGUCGGAGAGCGCUAUCACGUUUGAUCGACAGGAUCACCCGGAUCGGAUCCCCAAUCCUGGUAGCUAUCCACUCAUCGUCGAUCCCAUCAUCGCCGAGACCCGUCUCUCCAAGGUAUUGAUGGACGGAGGCAGCGGCCUCAACAUUCUUUACGUCGAGACCUUGGCCCUCAUGGGGAUCAGCAAGUCUCGGCUAAGGAAUGAUGCAUCACCAUUCCAUGGAGUGGUGCCAGGGCAUCGUGCCCAUCCCCUCGGCCAGAUCGACCUGCCCAUCUGCUUUGGGACCCCGACAACUUUAGGCGGGAGGUCCUCACCUUCGUCGUGGUUGGGUUCCCAGGGACCUACCACGCGAUCCUUGGGCGACCAUGUUACGCCAAGUUCAUGGCCGUCCUUAAUUACACCUACCUCAAGCUCAAGAUGUCGGGUCCGAACGGCAUCAUCACCGUCAGCACAACGAGCCAGCACGCCUACCAAUGCGACGUCGAGUGCAUUGAGCAGGCCGAGGCUCUAGCUGACUGUCCAUCAUCACCAGCCUCGGUGACGGUGACCAAGACAUCCCUGACCCCAAGCGUCACGCCGGGAGCUUCGAGCUGGCAGAAGAAACCAAGCUCGUCUUCCUCGACCCCGAGGCCUCAGAAGGCAAGGCGUUGAGGAUCAGCUCGAGCCUCGACCCCAAAUGGAAGCAGUGCUCGUCGACUUUCUCCGCGCAAACGCUGAUGUGUUUGCAUGGAGUCCCUCGGACAUGCCAGGCAUACCGAGGGAAGUCGCCGAGCACUCCUUGGACAUCGAAGCCGGCUCCAAGCCCGUGAAGCAGCGCCUGUGCUGAUUCGAUGAGGAGAAGUCGGCCUGGGCAUUCGGUUAUAACCACAAAUUCGGUUCGGUUAAAAUGAUUUCGGUUUCCAGCAAAUAAGCACCGAUCGGUUAUCCAGAAAAAUGAAAACCGCAGAAUUUCGGUUCGGUUUGUAAAUUCGGUUUUCGGUUUUUAACCGUAAUAACCGAACAUAGUGCCAUCAGCAUAUUCAAACAGCAACAGAUUGCAAGCAACAACAUAUUAAAACAACAUCUUAACAUGAAAAUUUAAAAGUAGUGCAUCUCAGUAUCUCACGUUCUCACAGUACACAAAUCAACAAGGCAACAAACAUAGUUUCAAAAGUUCUUCAUUAUUGAAACAGUAAAUAACUAAACAUCCAGCAACAAGCAUGUCCAGGCGUCCAGCAACAGCAGGAGUGCAGGACCAGGCGACUAGCAGCAUCCAGCAUGUCCCAGUCAGCAGUCCUGCUGCCAAUUAGUGAUCUUAGCAUUCCAAUUUCCAAUUCCAAGAAAUAUUUAACAAAUGAAUGUGCAAAACCUGCAAUACAAAUAUACCUUAUACCAAUUGUUCAAGACACAGAAGUAGCUAGAGUAUCAUCCUUAGAAAUGGAAAGGCCACCAAGUUCUAAAAUAAUAUAUGAUCUAAGUAAGUGUUGUGUAUGAAUCAUGAAGCAUUUUAGAAUCAAUUAAGAAUUUAGUAUGUUACCUUCCUCAAGCAAAGUCAAUUGUUCGAUGUCCUCUUCAACACUAACAUAUUUUCCUCCACCUCCACGAAGCCAAUCAUUUGCACAAACGAGGCGCUCAACCAUUUUUGGGGUUAGUGAGGUCCUAAAGUCAUCAAGAGUUCGGCCACCAACACUGAAGGCUGAUUCAGAGGCUACUGAGGUGAUAGGAAUUGCCAACAGAUCACGAGCCAACCUAGAUAAUAUCGGGAAUCUUGUUGCAUUGGCCUUCCACCACUUUAGAAUGUCAAAGUCUUUUGUGUCCGACUCAUUAUCUUCUGAGAGAUACUUGUCUACCUCAGAUUUGACAGUGCCACCCUCACUGUUGAUCUGCUGAGCCAUUUCCAUCCACCUACCCUUUUUUUUGCCGUUUUCAGUUGUAGAUUCAGACUCAGUAGGUUGUGGUGUCUUAUCUUUUGGGGCAUACAUCUCCUUGUACUCUUCAAACAAAGCACAAAAAUAAGUGUUCACUGUUUCCCACAAUUUGUCUCCUAUUGUAUCCCCAAACAUCACCUUGAUUCCCAAUUUGAUGCAAUUUGACAAUUUGUAUCUAGGAUCAAUAGCAACACAAUAGUAAACAUUAAAGUUGAGCAACUGAUCUCCCUUAUCGCCUCUCUUCUCUCUAUCCCCCUGCCUCUCACCAUACUUCUCUCCCCAAUACUUGUAGAAUUUGACUAGCAUUUUUGUAGCCAUUUCUUUGCUAAGGUUGUCUUCACUGUGACCCAUUUCUCUUAGCAAUAGUAAUACUUCAGCAAUCUCAUGAAAAUAAGUGUGAGAUGUGGGCUUUGUUUGUAUAGAAACAUGGAGAGUGAGGUCAUAAAAGUGUUCAAGAAAGUCAGCCAUCUUCCUAGCCUUCUCCCAAUCUGCUUUUGUUGGCACCCCUGGACCAUUCUCUCCUUCUAAUUCUAAUCUGUAGUAUGGGUCCUCAUCACUGUAUCUUUCAAAUGCUUUCUCGUACUUCUCUACAGCAUGUAACAUUAGGUACGUUGAGUUCCAUCUAGUGCAAAUAUCCAAGUUCAGAAAUGCUUUACUCUGUACCUUGGCUAACUCAGCACAUUUCUUAAAUUUCACCAACCUAGAAGACCCACCCCUGAUGAACUUAACUGCAGCACGGAAACGCUGAAUUGAUGUACCAAUUUCCUUCAAGCCAUCACCUACUAUUAAGUUGACAAUGUGAGCAGCACAUCGCAUGUGCACGUACUCUCCUUCAGCAAAACAACCUUUUGACUCAUUCAAGAUCCGCCUCAUGUACUUGACUGCAUUAUUGUUUGCACUAGCAUUGUCUAAUGUUAUUGUAAAAACCUUCUCAAUGCCCCACUCAGCCAAACAAAUGAUUUCCCAAUGUCCUCCCCUCUAUGCCCCUUAACCAAGAAGAAACCAAUAAUUGCUUUCCUAAGAAUCCAAUCAUUAUCAAUAAAAUGGGCUGUAACACACAUGUAGUUUUGGCUAUUCCUAGUUGUCCAUGUGUCAGUUGUGAGGCAAACUCUUUCACAAUUUUCCUUAAAAUAUUUCUUGAGCUUUUAUUUCUCAUCUUCAUAUACUUUAACACAAGCUCUAGUGACUGUCCUUCUAGAUGGCAGAAUAAAUCGUGGACAUGCUUCUGCUAAGAAUUUUCUAAGACCAGAACGUUCAGACAAGACAAAUGGUUGUUCAUCUUCAAUUAUCAUCUCAGCAAACAACCUUCUAAGUUUAUCCGGAUCAAAUUUCCAUGUGGAUACAGUACCAAGAUUACUAUUGCCAGCACAUGGUGUCAAUUGCAAAGUUCCUUGAUUAUCAACUACUGGUUUGUUAGGAUUCUUUUUGCAUAUCUUCAGAUGAGUUUUCAAGGACGACGUACCAUUUGUUCUUGAGCCACAAUGAAACAACUUUUCACACCACUUGCACUUGGCUCUCUCUUCCCCAUUGUCCAGUUUGACCUUGCUGAAACUGGCCCAUACAUCAGAUCUUAGAGUCAUGGGUUUUCUUUUCCUAGAUUCUUCAGUUGCUUUGUCUCCAUCGUUGGUCUGCUGCUGCUCCUUGCUUGGAUCUACCACUCCAGUAGAUGACACACCAGUUACUGAAGCUCCAGCUUCAGUUUCUUGAGUUUGAGACUGAUUAACCUCACAAGCAACUGUUUCAUCUGUGUCCCCCAUCUAAAUACGAAAUGAUUGAAAUCAAGACAUUGACUUAAGAAGAAAUCAGAAAUGAAGGAUUGAAGCUCGAUCUAAUUUUCUAAACUUACAUAGGAGGACUGCUCCGUCAUAGCCGCCGUUGUCUUGUUGGAGAACCUCAGGAGGGUGUUGCCAACCGCCGUCUGCCACUCUGCCUUGCUCCUUGCCGCGACGGCGCGACCUGCUCUGGUUGGCCGCGACCUGCAACAGGCCCUGUGGCACGACGCUCUUCUGCUCGAGCCUUCCAGGGGGAGGGGGGCGCGCCGCCGAGCUCUGUACGGGGGCCGUCUGGGGCGCCGCCAAGCUCUGCUAGGGCCGCCGCCCCUCUGCGCUCUGCCUGUGGUCGGCUGGUCGCCCUAGGGUUGCCGGUUGCCGACUGGGCGUCUCCUGUCUCCGCGUCUGGGCGUCUCCGCAUCCGAGCGAGUCCGUGCGAGCGCGACCGCGUGAAGUCGGCCUGGGCGUGACCGCGAGUGGGCCGUGGUGGCCUGGACUCCUGGUGGGCCGCGACGCGAUGAUGCCGAUGAAGGAAGAGCGAGUGAGCGAUAGACUGACGGAGGGAGUUUCUAGGAGUCCGGUUUAAUCGGUUAUUCGGUUCGGUUUCGGUAUAAAACCGAAGCCGAGGCCGAACACCGAAUACUACAAAAUUUAUAACCGAACCCGCACCCGAAAACUGAAUAAACCGCAAUUUCGGUUCGGUUCGGUUUGCGGUUUGUGGGUAAAAAGUGCCCAGAGUGAAGCAGAAGCAUCAGGCCAUCGGGGAGGAGAUCCACAAGCUGCUGGCGGCCAGAUUCAUCAAGGAGGUAUUCCAUCCCGAGUGGUUAGCUAACCCUGUACUGGUUAAAAAGAAAAAUGGGAAGUGGAGGAUUUGUGUAGACUAUACUAAUUUAAAUAAAGCAUGUCCCAAGAAUCCUUUUCCAUUACCUUGUAUCGACCAGAUAGUUGACUCUACCGCGGGGUGUGAAACUUUGUCUUUCCUUGAUGCUUAUUUCGGAUACCACCAAAUCAAGAUGAAAGAGUUUGACCAGCUCGCGACUUCUUUCAUCACCCCUUUCGGAAUGUUUUGCUACGUAACCAUGCCGUUCGGCCUUAAGAAUGCAGGGGCUACAUACCAGCGGUGUAUGCUCCAGGUCUUCGGAGACCUUAUAGGCAAGACGGUAGAGGCUUACGUGGAUGACAUCGUGGUCAAAUCCAGAAUGCCAAGCGGCCUUGUGGCCGACCUGGAUGAAACAUUCCAGUGCCUCAGGGCUAAGGGGAUCAGACUAAACCUCGAAAAAUGUGUUUUCGGGGUCCCCCGAGGCAUGCUCCUCGGGUUCAUAGUGUCUGAGCGAGGGAUCGAGGCCAACCCCGAGAAGGUCUCGACCAUCGCGAACAUGGGCCCAAUCCGUAACCUAAAGGGAGUACAGAGAGUCAUGGGAUGCCUCGCAUCUCUUAGUCAUUUCAUCUCCCGUCUUGGGGAAAAAGGACUACCUCUGUGUUGACGGUCCUUAAGUAUCAAAUUUAAUUAUCAAAUAAAUAAAGAAAAGGAUCCAAAUGAAAUCAAGAUCUAGACUUAGGGUUUUAUCUGACAGAAUUCCACGAGUUUUGGUGUUUGUCUAUUUCUGCAGAGGGUUAUCAGGAAAUAUGGAAGAAAGGCCCACAUGUCAGGAUUACGUAAAGAUAUUAACGUGUUGCGCAAUUAUCUUACAUCUAGAAGACUCCAGAAGCCACGAGCCCGCCCACCUCCUGUGUCCAAUCAGGACUCUGCUUUGCGGGAGAUCUCCACCGACCUAAAGGAUGAAUCUAAACCAUACAAUCUAUGUCGGUUUGAUCCAAGGGCCCAUAUUCACUUGGAGGGACUAUAAAACCAGACCCCCUGGCCCCUGGAGGAGAGAGCCUCUCAACCCUAAUUCAUUGUUCCAUCAAGGGAGAAGAAGCCUCUGAUCAAGAUUAGAGCCACCACAUCAAUUAGACAUCUAGAUUAGCAUAGCUACAUAGGAUUAGAACUAGAAGGAGUCAAUCUUCGAUUGGUUUCCGGAUCUGUCAGGAGGAUUCUUCGUAAUUCUCUAAUUGUGCUUCUAAUUGCUUUCUAAUUAUCUUUGUUCUUCAAUAUUAUGAAUAUGACUUUGUUCUACUUCAAUAUAUUGCUUAUGACUUUGCUCUACUUGCUUAUAUUCAAGAUUAUAUUGUUCUUAGUUUAUCAUAGUUAUGUACUUGGCUUAGUUAGAUUCGAUCUAUAUACAUGCUUAGGAUCGUAUAGCGUUUAUCCAUCGGAUCCAUGGGUAAAUGAUAGAUAUUGUGUAGGCGUGGUGCUUAUACCGUAUUUAUCUGCGAUUGUACCCAAUAUGCCAGAUCGUGGGGUGGUUCGUGAUAGUGACAGCUUCAUUGAUUCUUAUAUAGUCCCCCUCUCGUGUAUUGGGCUGGCAGAGCAACAUUAUUACAGGGGUGUGAUUGCUAUGUUUCUCAUAUUCCUUGCUAAUAUCACUAUGCAUGGGCGUAGUCUUGUCUCGCAAUGAUUGCUAAGUAUGCUUGCACUAAUUAUGAUAAUGCUAGACUAUAUAGUUAAGAAUAACUUAGGGAAUAUUCUUGUAGUUCGUUCUAAUACCAUGCUAAUGACUUUCUAGAGUAUCUAAUUGAGGUGCUUAUCAUAUUUAUUAUGUGGCUAGAUCAGAUUAGUUAUCCUUGUCACUAUUAUUAUUUCAUAUAUCUUUUAUGUGACACUUAUCCCUGUAUGAAGAGUUAGAUAUAAUGUUCUCAAUUAUACAUGCAAUGAUAGAUGCUCAAUCUCAUAUUCUAUUCUAUAAUCAAUAGUGAUGAUUGCUAAUCCCUUCCCAGUGGUAAAAAUAUAAAUAACGAUACCUGGAAUACUUCCCGGUUAAAAUGCUGCAUCGGUAUUAAUCUGUGCGCUUGCAGAUCCCAUUCAUUAUUUAUUUAGAAGAGCAAUUGCAUAUUUCAAUACCGCGUCUCUUAUAUCAUGCUGGGGAUGACAACUUGGCUUAAGUGGUGUGAGGGAUAGGUUUGGCAUUUUUGGCACCGUUACUAGAUUUAGAGAACUUAGUCUACUUUUGGUAAUGAUGUUAAGAAUACCCAACAAGCAUUUUUGGCGCCGUUGCCGGGGAAGGUUGAUUACCAAUCAGGAAUGGAAUAAAAGAUUUUGAGUUAUCAUUCGCAUCACUAAUAUGAUUGAGCUUAUCUAUUCUCUCAUACAGUUUUACCCCGAUAUUUUUCUAUUUUAUCUUAUGCAGGGGAAUGUAUGAAUAGAAGACAUCUUCCAGGGAAUUUUGUUGACAAUCCUGAAGCAUUAUUCAAGAAGACGAGAGCCAAGCUAAAGAAAUCAUCAACACUUCACGAAGAAGCUUCAUCCAAUCAAGAAGAUCACCGGAACUUGUCUUCAGAGUUCGAAGCCAUGGCGAACAAAUCAAUCCGCGAGUUCUCAGCUCCCACUACGGACAACAUCCGCACUGGACCUGCUGUAGAGAUCGAUGGCAACUUUGAGCUCAAGCCUGGACUUAUCAACAUGGUGCAAUCCAACCAGUUCUGUGGGAAGGCACACGAAGAUGCUAGUGCUCAUUUACAACACUUCCUGGAGAUUUGCAACACAUUCACCAAAGCAGGAGUUUCCAAAGACGCUAUACUACUUCGCCUCUUCCCAUUCUCACUGUUAGGAAGAGCGAAGCAGUGGUUCUACGCUACAAAGGAGAAGAAUAUUACGUGGGCACUCUGCUCAACAAACUUCCUGGCAAAGUUCUUUCCCAUGGGCAAGACCAAUGCUCUCCGUGGGAAGAUUACAAGUUUUCAGCAACAAAAUGAUGAAUCUGUUCCAGAAGCAUGGGAGCGCUUUCAAGACUACAUCCUAGAAUGUCCCCAUCAUGGAAUGGAGAGUUGGCUAUUGUUGUAGACGUUCUAUCAUGGGCUCAGCAACAGUGCCCGAGAGACCAUGGAUGCUGCAGCUGGAGGAGCAUUCUUAUCACUUACUAUACCACAAGCCACAGCUCUUGUGGAGAAGAUGGCAUCCAAUCAAAGCUGGAAUGAAGAGAGGACCCAGACAUGCAAGAGAGGUGGAGGUAUGCAUCAGCUGAAGGAGGUAGACAUGCUGUCUGCAAAGCUAGACCUGCUCAUGAAGAAGCUCGAUGAUAGAGCUGGAGACAAGAAAGAAGUUAUGCACAUCUACGACUCUCACAUGACUUGUGAGGAGUGUGGAGAUACUGGACACUCAGGCAACCACUGCCCUGAGAUGCUUGAGGAUGUGAACUACAUCAACAACAACAACAACUACUACUACAACCGUCCUCAACAAACUCAAGGUUGGAAUCAACAGAGGCCUAACUACUCAGGUAAUUAUCAAGGUAACAAUUCUUACAACAACAAUAGUAAUUUUCCACCUUUGAGAGAGUUAGUGUCUAAUCACGGAAAGCUAAUGGAUAAUCUAUCUAAGAAAUUGGCAUCUAAUGAUAAAAUGCUAGAAAAUAUAAAUAAUAGAAUGGAUAAUUUCUCGACUGCCAUCAAGAAUCAAAUUAGCUUUAAUAAAAUGAUUGAAUCCCAGUUAAAUCAAAUAGCUGCUGUUCCUACUACUAACCUCGGUAUACCAUCACAACCGGAAGGAUUAGAAUCUGCAAAUCUUGUAGACAUGUUUGAUGCAGGUAAUUGGAGUAACCCCGUCACUGAAUUUUCUACUGACCGUCUGCCGGUCAAGAGAGGCGAUCCAGGACGCCCCGUCAAACCGAUCUCCAUCGGCAUGGUGGACUUCCCAGAAGCACUCUGCGACUUUGGCUCCAGUGUCAACAUUAUACCCAGGGUACUCUAUGAAAAAUUCUUUACAUAUCCUUUAUUAGAAACAACCAUGUGUUUGCAGUUUGCAGAUCAGACGAUAACUUUUCCAAAAGGAAUAGUGAGGAACCUUUGUGUCCGAGUUGGUACCUUAUAUGCCCCAGCAGACUUCGUAGUGGUAGAGACCGGAAAUGAUGAGAGAGCACCUAUCAUCUUAGGGAGGCCAUUCUUGAAUACCACGGGAGCUAUCAUCUACGCCAGUGCUGCCAAGAUCAGUUUCUAUGUCAAAGGGAAGAAGGAGACAUUUUUCUUCAAGAACAAGACUACACAAAUUCCAGAUCAAUCCAGACGUAAAUCAAGGAAGAGGACCAACAGGAGGAACAGGAACAAGCAAGUGUGGACCGAGUCAGCUAAGAUGGUCACUGCAAUUCAUGGAGGCCAAGAUCAUCAACUUAAGUCACCGUGUUUGACUAAGAAGGAUGACCCAGGAAUGCCAAGCAUUUACUGCUCCAUAAAUGGAUACAACUUCUACAAGACGAUUUGCGACACCGGAUCAGGCGUCAACAUAAUGGCCGCACUCACCUAUCGGCUCUUGUUCGGAACCAUGCCACUAAAACCAACAUACAUUCAGCUCCAGAUGGCAGAUCAGACAUUUCAAGAAGUUCAAGGGAUAGUAUCUGAUGUCCCAGUCAAAAUAGACGAUCACUUUGUCUACACAGACUUUCAAGUUGUUGACAUGGGAGAAGAUGAGUAUGAUCCACCCAUCAUCCUUGGAAGACCGUUCCUCAGCACCGUUAAAGCAAUUAUCUACAUUGGAACUGGAGAAGUCCAUAUGCACUUCCCCUCAGAGAAGGUACGCUGUUAUUUUACUGACCCUAACUAUAUCAUUGAAGAAUCUAAGCAGGUAAGAAAGCGACGCAACCGCAACAUGAGGAGGCAGAUCAUCAAGGACAGAUGGGCAGACUAUGAAGGAGAAGUUGUAAGAUCAGAAGACGGUGAGUUUAAACAGAAUUAUCCAGAGGAGAUUGAAGCACCAAGUCAGGUGUGGAAAAUGAAGAUAACUAUACAAGAAGAGGAGGCGCUGCCGGAAGUACCGACUACGCCACCCAACGAACCUCAGGACGAUUAAGAAAAUGGAGAGUCCCGUUCGGAGGACUUAAAAACACCGAACGCCCUGCCAAGAGGUAAACUUGGUAGUUAUCCUUUCCCUUUCAAUUAUUUCAAAUAGUUUACUUAGUUAAUCAUGUUCGUAUUAUCCCCAUGUGAGUAGACGAGUGGCAUAAAACCCAUAAGUACAUUCACUGUGGUGGCAUAAAAAUAAAAUAAUUAUUUUUCUGCUUUAUAAAAUAAAAAUAUAAAAACAGGGAGUAACAAUUAUUAAGGAGUCUCAACAUGAUAAAGGCUAGAUAUUUAUGCUAACACUUAAUCAGUUCCACAAGCUAUGUUGUCUAUUUGAGCUCCACAGAAUUUAUGAAUCAAGAAGACUAGCAGACGGAGGACAUUCUAAUCGCUGUCAGAAUGCUGCUGACUUUCAAAUACACCUCUGCCGCCUGCUUGCUACAUCAAGAGAAAUUACGUCAAAAUUCAGCUUGGGGGAGAGCACCCCCAUUUAUCUCGAUAAGUAUAUCUAUCUAUCUUUAUACUUAUAUUAUAUUAGAAUAUUAAAUAUACAUAACUAUGAAAAAACCAAAUAAAGAUUUUAUGCUUAUAUAUAUAUAUGUCUUUUGCUUAGUGUGUUUAAUAAAUAAAUAAAGUGGCUAUGCUAAUCUGUAUCUAAAUAAAACUUAAGCAUGGAUAUGAUAAAUAGUUGCUCUGCCUAAUUUGCACAUUUUAAGUUCUCUCUCAAGUUUAGACAUAACUGUUAUAAUUUAAGGCUUGCUCUAGACCUAAACUUGUGGGAUGAAAAUUUGAUCUGAAGUCUAAGUUGUUAACGGAUAUGAUAUGGAAAGGUUGAGCUGCUGUUUAUCUGUUCCUAGAGAUGCUAGAAUUCUGGAGAAUUUUAUCUUUGAAAAUCUUUAAAAUGUUGCAUGAUGAGUUCCUGUAUGAUGAGAGUUUAAAUUCCUACCAAAGCCAUAUAUACAUGCUUGCUAGACUUUGAGCCACACAUUUAUUAUGUACUGCUUAUGAGCAUUGAGUGUGGUCAAGCUGUGUUGACCCUUAGGAGCUUGUCAUGUGGUUAAAUCAAUAUUUCACUUGCACGUUCACUCAUAUAUGCUACUUCUACUCCGGAAGUACCAUCCACAUAUAUCCACCCAUUCCAUCUCCAGAAUCACCCAAAAAUAUUCUACUCCUAAUCCGGGAGAGAAUAACCAAAAAUAUUUCUGUUUUCCCCUUGUGAAAUAAAUGCUCAAGUUAUCUUGUUACUACCACUUGCUAUAUUAUCUCAAGAGAUGAAUGCUCUAAAAAAAGAAAAAAAAAGAAGAUACGAGGAAAUAAAAAGGAGCAAGUGCUCGGAACCUCGAAAGAAAAAAAAAGUGAGACGAGAGGUAAAAAUGGACAAGUGUCCGACAGUAGAAUUAGGGGUGCAAGAUACCCACCUGAGAGAAAAGAAAAAGAAGAGCAUCUCAUUCUCCUCAUAAAGUUUCAAAGGCAAGGAAGGUAUGUAUCCCCUCAAAGAGCAAAGUAGAAUUAGACUUCCACCACCAUUGUUACCACCAUUGUUAUCACCAUCAUCACCAUACAUCAUUCAUUCGCCACACAUGCACAUCUUGAUUUGGCUUAUUGAUUUGUUUCUUUGGAUCCAUGGUUUGACUAUGCAAUAAAUGUCUUGUAAGUAUGUAUACUUUAUCUCCCACCUAUGAGCUCCAGAUAUUAAAGCCUUAUUAGAGUCGGGUGAGAGAGAAGACAAUGUCACUAUGCCUUAUACCACAAAUACUACAUAUCUUGAGAGAAGGCAUAUACCAUCAAUGCCUUGGUAAGGAUCCAAAAAUACCACAAAAGAGAGACCUGAGAGAAUCAUACAAGGAAUUUCUGAGUUUUAUUUGAAAAUCUGCAAAAACCCCAGAGCUAUAGCUGAUCAAGAAUAAGAGACAUGGCACUUGGCUAGGCUGUUCUAUCUUUUAACCACUCAAGACAGAAGUGACGGUUACAAGUCCCAUGGUGAAGGUAAAGUAAGUAAGUUUUAAGUCUUGACAGUUUACUCUAACUCAGAGAUGAGAUCUUAUUUAAAAGCAUGUGUACCGUCAAAUUUUUAAAGAUAUUGCAACAACUUAUGAUCCAUAGCUGAGUCUAUCCUUGCUCAGGGACGAGCAAGAGGUAAGCUUGGGGGAGUUUGUUGACGGUCCUUAAGUAUCAAAUUUAAUUAUCAAAUAAAUAAAGAAAAGGAUCCAAAUGAAAUCAAGAUCUAGACUUAGGGUUUUAUCUGACAGAAUUCCAUGAGUUUUGGUGUUUGUCUAUUUCUGCAGGGGGUUACCAGGAAAUAUGGAAGAAAGGCCCACAUGUCAGGAUUACGUAAAGAUAUUAACGUGUUGCGCAAUUAUCUUACAUCUAGAAGACUCCAGAAGCCACGAGACCGAAGCGGAGGCGAAACAGGGCCAGAGGCAGGGCGCCCGCCCUCCUGCCCUGGGCGCCCGCCCACCUCCUGUGUCCAAUCAGGACUCUGCUUUGCGGGAGAUCUCCACCGACCUAAAGGAUGAAUCUAAACCAUACAAUCUAUGUCGGUUUGAUCCAAGGGCCCAUAUUCACUUGGAGGGACUAUAAAACCAGACCCCCUGGCCCCUGGAGGAGAGAGCCUCUCAACCCUAAUUCAUUGUUCCAUCAAGGGAGAAGAAGCC